ACGUAUUUGUUUUUAUUUUUCUCGAUUUAGUUCAGAUUGUUCAGAUUCUUAUGAUUUCGAUUACGUGUUUAAUUAUUAUAUGUUGAAUUUUGUGUCAAACUUUGUAUUGAUGUGUUAGGGUUAGGGUUUAUUCAAAUUUAGUAUCUUCAAUGUAUCCAAUUCUGAUUCUAUAUUGAAGAAAGCUCAACAUUUUUUUUUUUUUUUUUUUUUUUUGGUUUUGGCAUUCAUUAGUAAGUUACUAUAUAACCAAAAACCAUUAAUUUGCUUUAAAACUGUAACACUCCUUGUGAUAUUAUUUUGCGCGUUUUUUUUUUUUCUUUGAAAUAUCAAUUGGUAUGCCUCAAAAUGUACUCUUCCUUCGGCGCACCAUUCCAUUAUGGGUGUGUUAAUGCUUAACACAAUUCACGAAAAAGGUUAUGAAGACUUGCAAUAUAGGGGUUAGAGAUAAGUUUACUGUAGUAUAUAAAUGAUCAAGUUUUUGAAAUUGGAUAAUAUAUGCUUGUACUUUCUUUUCUUUCUUUUUUUAUCAGAACAAAAAAGGGAGAAGAAGAGUGAGAAAGAGCAAUAGAAGAUGCUUCAAAUUCGUCUCAGCAACAAAGGUUCAGUUUCAGAAGCCACGGGAGGGGGGAAAACCUUGCCAGUUGAAACUGUAACAGUGGCAUGCCCUGACCACCUUGUUCUUGCUGAUCUUCCUGUUGCAAAAAGCAUUGGCACCACAAACACUGCUUCACUUGUUAAGAUUGUUGGCCGUAGGUCCCGCCGUCAUCUUGGUGAAAGGGUCCAUUUCUGCGUUCGCUGUGAUUUUCCCAUUGCUAUCUAUGGGCGCCUGGUAAAUAAAUAUUUUUUAUUGCUCCAUUGUUAAUCUAUGAAAUUUUCACUACAAUAAAUAUUAGUUCCUAUAAAGGCAAUUAAAUUGCAUAUCACUAUCUCUGUUCUGUUAGUCUCCCCAUGCUUUUGGGGAAGCUUCAAUUUGGACAAUUCUUUGAACUUGGAUUGUUAUAUGGUUCUGCUUGGUUCAAAGCAUAAGUGUCCAGAGCAUAUCCUGAUUUCUUCUUAUAAUAACUGGUUCUGAAGAGUUAACAUGUGGGCAUUUUCUAGUGUAAUUUGACCCCAAAGUAUGUUAUUAAUAAUAACUCAGUAAGAAAAAUAAAAUAUGGAAGUAGGUUGUGGACUCAAUCUAGAAUAAAGUUAGAAACCUGCAUUAGUUUGGGAAAUAGGAGGAAGAAAGUGAACAAUAGUGAUAAGUAGAUCUUCAAGUGUAUUUUGUUUUAUUCUUAUGCAAUUUACAAAAAUGCAUUGCAUCUCACCAUGCGAUUUCUCUUUCCAUGAAUCCAUUUUCUUCCCCUCCCUAUAUGAGUGGGAUUUUUUUUUUUUUUUUUUUGUAUACUCAGAUCUUACCUUGUUUCACAUUUUCUAGGUAUAUUUCUUCAGUUUACUAUUAUUGAUUUUUGUAGUAUAACAAUUUCAAGUACUUGCAGAGUCCUUGCGAGCAUGCCUUCUGUUUGGACUGUGCUAGGAGUGAUUCUAGCUGUUAUCUGUAAGUUUUUAAAUUCUCUCUGGAACUUUAUUGUUAAUAUCAGUUAUAGGAGAGAGGUGUAAUUUCUUUUAUUGAUAUUGUUAUCGUUAGUUCUUUAUGUUGGUGUUAUUCAAAUAAAGGGGUGCCAGUGAUAUACUCUUUGACACACGUAAUAAUUUUAGAAAUUAAGGUGUUCAAUAGAAGAUCUUCUAGUGUUUUCAAAGUCCUAUUGUGUUUUAUGUUUGAGGAAGUCUACUUCUUCCGAAGAUUUGAUGCUAGGUUGAUAUGUUGUGAGAUUGCUUAGGGUUUGUUUUAUAUGUUGAUUUGUAUUAUAGAAAAGUUUAUAGAACCUUGAAAGUGUUUUGGUUCAUUCAAUCAUUGAAAGGAACAAGAUUUUUUUUUUUCUAAGACAGAAUGACAGAUUAUGUUGAUGUAGUUCAGCCUUAAAGGCCCUUUUUUUAAUUUUGCAUAGUGUAUGUUGAAUGAUUGGAGUCAAUGUUAUACCUAACACAAUUAGCUCAAAGCGUGCAAACUUUUACAAUCAAAUGGUAUAAUACAGACACUGGUGGAAAAGAUUUUGAAUUGAAUGACCUGAAAUCAAAUCAACAUUUAAACUUUUUAGGUGAGAGAGACCUAUCGUGCUUUUUACGCAUCGUAAGGUAGCCACAAUUAGCUCAACUAGUAACGUUUUUAACUCAUUUGGAUUCAGAGAUUGUAUAAGUGGCCUCUAGAAUGACAUGUAGAUUCCAGAUCCAGAAGAAAGUGUAUUGUGUUAUCUUCAGAUAAAAUGUUUUUGUCUUGAUUUCCAAAGUAGUAUUGCCUAUGCUAUGUGGGAAUGACACACUCAUUUUCACAUGACAGCAUCAAUUCCAGUUUCAGAAAUUGUGUGCCUGCUUUUAAAUAUCCGCAAUGGUAGGCACUAUAAAGUAAAUGAAUGACUAAACUUUAACUUGUAUAAUUUGAUACAGAUGUGACGAGCGCAUUCAAAAAAUCCAGACAAUCAAAAUGAUGGAAGGGAUAUUCAUCUGUGCAGCCCCACACUGUCUCAAGUCCUUUCUGAAAAAGUCUGAAUUUGAAACUCACAUUCAUGAGAGCCAUGCUGACCUUCUUCACCCCAAUUUGGUUAAAGAAGAUGGCAAUGAGUCGGAUGCUUUUAAUGUGACAAGGCCCUCAUCCACCGAGGCACACGCUAAACAAUCUACUGCUGCAGAUACCUCCACUGCUCGUAGUCUGCCAAGGGCGGGUUUGUCACCCAGUUCUAAUUCUCAACCCCAUGAUCUUGAUGACAAAGCUCGUCACAACCAAUCUAGAGAUCAGCCAUCUGCCAAGUCUUCCAUUAUACAGCCAUUUAUGGAAGACACCCAAACUAUCAACCCGAACUACAGCAAGAAAACAACCCACACCAUGUUUUUGAUAGGCCAGGGCCUUAUAAUCGUUUCCAUAACCAACAAAAUAUCGACAUGCAAGCUGCUGCCUUUCAGCGGAGAGAUUCUGACCGGGUCCCUGACAAACAGCAAGGGGUUGUAUCUGAGGUUCCAUUCUCAGAAUACCCUCCACAGUCCCACCAACCUCCUACUUUUGUAGUACCACUUAACUCAAACCAAGGACUGACUCCCGCAUUUAACAUGCCCCCCUUCCCUGUUGAGGUACUUCAACCUUUCUACAAUGCUCAAUUAGAGACUACACGACCAGAUAUGCAAUGGGAAAGUCCAGCUGGAGGUCACGCUUUCACAGACAGUAAUCCUCGACCUUGGAAUUUGGGUGCUGGUAUGCCUUUUGAACAAAUGCCUGCAAGUCAAGGAAUUUCAGAAAAUUAUGCAAACCAAUCAGAUGCUCAAGGUAGAGCCACUUAUUUCCAAGGUGAUUACGGGUGAGGGCCAGGGGCUGCGCCCCUAAAUCCUCUUAUGCCUCCUAUGGGUAGUAGGGGAUUAGAACCUUUGCAAGGCAGCAAUGCUUCAGAUAACAAGUAUGGGCAAGGCACAUCAACACCACAGCCAAGGGCACCACCACCUGCCCGCCACCAUUCACAAUUCCAACGAGGCAACUUUCCUCACCACGCCGAUGCUGGUUGGGAAGGUUAGAGCUAUGGGUGGCUAAAUGAAAGCACGACGGCUUGGGGAUAUCCAUGUACAUGAAUUUUUCCGAACCUUUACCAUGGUAUCUGUUGUGUUUUUCUUAGUUUGUGUAUUAGUAUGGGUAUUUGUAGAAGUUACAACAGCACAAUAUCAGUAUUCUAGUUUUUCUGUUUAUUUUUUUGAUAGGGCAUGGAAGAAAUAUUAAUUUGCCAACAAAUUCAAUCUUUUUAUUCAGUAGCAUAACAGGAUAAUCCCUCUAUUCAUCAGUGAAAAAAGGAUAAUCCUUAGUGAUUCCUUGCACACAAUUGUGGAUUUAUCUAACUUUUUUUUGAAGAAGUUGAAAUUUAUUAAUCAAUCAUCACCAAAAGAUACACAUACUGGUCAGCAUGCAGUUUCUACUGCAUGACCAGCUCAUCCCAGUGGGUAAUCUACUUCAUACAGAAUGACUCCCCAACCCAUUAGCAUAAAAAAUAUACAAUGAAAACCAGACAACAGUAGCAGUUAGGAUAUCUACUGAGCCUGUAGUUUGAGGAAAGCUGCAGUCAUAGAAAUGCCUCAAAACUCCCAAAGGUGGAAGUGGUUCAACAUUAAGCAUCUAAUGCUAGGACAAUGUUACUCGAGCUCUAUUUAUACCACCCAUGGAAAAUAUAAUAUUAUAACAUUAACAUAAAUACUUGAAAAAAAAAUUGGCAAAUGGAGAUCAGGGGAACAUGCACUGAACAUGUCAACCCUUUAUGUUGUAAGUUGUAACUGUGGUGUAAUCCAUAUAAGUGAAGGUGAUGUCAUGAAGCCCAGGAAGCAGAAAUAAUGUACUGCUUCAAAAUGUACACGACUUCCUUCCCAAGGAGCAUUUGGGGGAUUUUCAAUUUUACACCGAGGGCAUAUAAUCCUUCUGAUUACAAUGAAUCUAACUAAUCCCCACAUUUAUUAUUUGGGUUUUCUUACAAAACUCCUAAAUAUACAACACACUCGAGCGAAUUGUGACGAUGGUAUACAACUGGCCGUACAAAACUGAUAAGUUAUUUGCUGGUAGUAAUUUAUUGCGCGCUCCUUUAGUUUUGGCAAGACUCAAGAGUAUCAUCCUUCUUCCAUGUCUUCAAAACUGAUUGUGUUUACAUCAGGGACAUAACCUUCUUCAACCAUUAUAGCAGCCAAAUCUAAUAGACUUGUAUAUACUUCCUCCAUCUCCUGCUUUGGCAGGUUAUCAACUGCAAAAGUGUAAAUGUUGUUCCCGAUUUCAAUCCAACUACCACCGGGUGAUUUCUUGACCCCACGAGCAGUCAUCAAUUUUCUCACUCGAUCAACAUCAUUCCAUCUGCCUGCCUUGGCAUAGAUAUUUGACAAUACCACAUAAUUACCUGGGUUGUCAGGCUGUAGUUCUAUGAGACAGUUUGCUGCAUACUCGGCCAUCUCUACAUUCCCAUGGGUCUUGCAGGCCGAAAGAAGAGCACCCCAGAGGCUUGCAGUGGGUUGUAGUGGCAUCUGAACAAUGAAAUCUCUAACAUCCUUAAAUUGCCCCCCACGUCCAAGGAUAUCAACCAUGCAAGAGUAGUGCUUUCCACUAGGAAUGAUCCCAUAUUUUGACUCCAUGCUAUUAAAUUGUUUCCACCCCUCACUGACUAGUCCAGCAUGACUACAUGCACUGAGAACCCCUAUGAAUGUAACGCUGUCAGGGAUUUCUCCUGCACACAACAUCUGAUCAAAUAAGGCAAGUGCAGCUUUGGCGUUCCCAUAAACUGCAAAUCCCUGAAUCAUUGUGUUCCAGGAAACAACAUCUCGUUGAGGCAGUCUACUAAACAACUGCUCGGCAUACUUCAGGCAUCCACAUUUGAAAUACAUGUCUACGAGGGCAUUGGUGACCAUUAAGUCUUCAUCAUCAAGUCCAUUUCUUACGGUGUAACCAUGAAUUGAUUUUCCAUGUGAUAAGGUGGCCGACUGUGCACAGGCUGGUAGGAUGCUGGCAAUAGUGAUAGAAUUGGGUCUCAAUCCUUCCAGUUGAAGUUUACGGAAAUGAUUUAGACUUUCAUCCACCAACCCAUUAUGUGCAUAACCUGAAACCAUUGUAGUCCAGGUAAUUAUGUUGCCUGCUACCCCAGCUUUUUUCAUUUCAUAGAAUGUUUUUGAAGCUUCGUUGACAAAUUUGUUCUUUGCAAGAACUGAAAUAAUUGUGUUCCAUGACACCAUAUCCUUACUAUCCAUUGAUUCAAAGAGAUUGACUGCAUAAGCUACAUCUCCACAAUUACCGUACAUAUUUAUAAAGGCAGUGCAGACAAAUUUGCUCAUCUCACCUUCAUUUCUUAGAAACGUGCAGUGCAGCUCCUUCCCUGUCAUUGAACAGGUAUUAUAUUGUAUUAAUGGAAUGAUGAUAUCAAAACUUCUGAGAUUGGGGUUCUGGUUUGUCCAUAUCAUAUCACUAUACAUCUGCAGAGCUGAGUUAAAGUCGCCAAUAUCAACAAAUCCAGCAAUUACUGUGUUCCAGCUGAGUAUAUUGGGUUUAAUCCCAGCCUUCCGCAUCGAAUGAAACAGUUCUAAUGCUUUGUUUGUAUGCCUGUUAUAAGCAUGGCAUUCAAUAAUAGCAUUCCAGCAAUCCAAAUCUUUUGCGUUGAGGGAGUUAAAAACCUCUUGUGCAGCUUCAGUAUCAGAACAUUUGGAGUACAUUCGUAUGAGGGCAGCUACGACAGAAUUGUCUGACAUAUAUCCUUUUUUGUUUAAGUACCUGUGGAGUUCGUUGGCCUGUUUGAUGUCGUCAAUAUGUUCACACACGUGAUCUAAUAAAUUCGCAGAUACUAUACUGGAAGCCAAACCUACAUAUUCCAAAUGUUGAAUCAGAUCAAGAACACUUCUGCUUUGAAGAUACAGAGGUGUAAUAUACUCAAAUGUUAUUUUGUUUGGAAUUAUGCCAUUCAUGAGCAUUCCUUCGAACAAUUCCAUUGCCUCAUCAACAAACCCGAGUUGAAAAUAUCCCUUGAUCAUUAUAUUCCAACUCACAACAUCCCUUCCUCUCACUCUAUCAAAGAUAAGCCGGCCAUACCCCAAUCCACCACAAUUUGCAUACAUAUCAAUAAGGGAAGUACCACAAUAUUUAUCAUAACCACAACCAUAUGCUAUAGCCAAUCCAUGAAUCUGUUUUGCCAUGUCCAAACAACAUGAACCAGAAAAUAGAGGGAAAAUUGCAGAAAAGGUAGCUGACUGAGGUUUAACCUCAGAACGCAUCAUUUCCUUGAAGAGUUCCAAUGCUUCUUGUCCACAACCAAAUUGCACAUACCCAACCAGCAUUGUCGUCCAGGUAAAAAUAUCUUUAACAUCACAUUCAUAAAAAACCCUUUCGGCAUCCCAUAAACUCCCACAUUUCGCAUACAUAUCUACAAGGGAAUUCAUUAUAAAUAAAUCCCAUUGAAAUCCACUAGUAAUAAUAUCAGCAUGAACUCGGCGACCACUCCUUAAAUUCUUCAUCCCUGCGCAUGACUUCAAAACAAUAGGGUAAAGAAAAUUAUCCGCUUUGAUUCCCUCCAAAAUCAUUUUUUCAUAAAAAUCAACUGCUUUAGCCAAAUCACCAUUGUUUGAAUAAACCCCAAUAAUUGCUGUCCAAGAGAAUAAAUUUCUCUCACACAUUUCAUCAAACACUUUCUGCGCAAGUUCUGACUCGCCACUUUUUGAAUACAUCAUCACUAUAUUGUUCUGUAAAACCAAAUUGGGUUGAACCCCAUUCUUAAUUAUAUGUUCAUGAAUCUCUCUGCCUUUCCCAAAAGCUUUGAACUUUAUGCAAGAACGAAUAAGGGGUAGAUAAGAAUCGGAAUCCAACUGAUAAGAAUUGAGGUUUGGGAUUUGGCGAAGAAUUCGAAUAGCUUCGUCGAUACGACCUAGUAUUGAAAGCUGAGAAAGCUCUUUUGCAAGAGAUGAUUGUGAGUGUUGUUGCCAUGUUGAAUAGGUUCUGUGUAGAGAUUUCAAGAACCCUUGCAUGUGUUAUCAAAUGAGCAGAGUGAAGGGUAAAGUUGUAAACUUUGAAAAAUAAAAUGAGGUUUGUUUGUUUGUUUUCCCUGUUUGCGGGCUUGCGUAAGCUUUAUCGUUCCAGUGGUUCGCGAGAAUAUUUAUCUAUCUAACAACAAAUUAAGAAAUCAUACCACGUGGAUAUAUGGUCAGAAUAGAGUUUUAGAGCUACGUGGACAUACCAUCAUGGGCUGGGCUUUAUUAGUUAUGAGUGUGCAAAAGAUGCAAAACUCAUUUUCUUUUUCCGGUUCAUACAACAUUUUGGCUGUGCUUGUUUGCACGUAAUUUUGAGGGAAAAUAUUUUGAAAAUAUUUUGCUAAUUUUGUUUUGCGAUUUAUUUACAAAAAUUAUAUCUAAACAUGCUUGUUUAGUUUGGGCUAAAAAUUCGGAAAUCAAGAUAAAAAGAGGAGAGAGAAAGAGAGAGAGGAGAGAGAAAGAAAGAAGAGCACGUGAUUCCAAAGAUUCCGGUAUUUUCAAAGCAGCAAAAAAUGUUGAGCUGUUUUUACAUUUAAGAAAAUAAUUCCGGUAGGGCCCACUAUAAAUGAUAACUACCAAGCACCAUGCAAAUCUGUAAAACUUUCUAAAAUCCAACGUGUCACGAUUUUCCGGGAGAUUUCCAUGCAACCAAGCACAGCCUUUAAACCAAAACAAGUUGUUGAACCCGUGCUACGCACCGGGAUUUGUGUUAUUCAAUAAAAUGGAAAAUCACCAAACUUUUUUUAAUACCCUUCUCAACCUAAAUUUGUAGAGAGUUUAUAAUGAUUUUAUAAGUGAUUUGUUGAACCGAGUUUUUUUUAGUGCCAUUCUUAACCUAAAUUUGUAGAGAUUUAUAAUUAAUAUUUUUUGUAUUUAGUAUGGUUUUUAUAUAAGAAUUAAGGAUUUUAAAUAGACGAAGAAUUUAGUAGGAAAAAAAGAUUUACAAUUAAGUUCUAAAGGGUUUUAAGGUUUCUAGAAAUCUUUGUUGACAUGGAAGGUGGAUUUCCUUUUUAAUUUGGGCUCUCACCAAAGUUAAGCAAAUCUCUCGUAAAGUAAAGUGUCAUGUGGCAUUUGAUGUCUACAACUGGGCUUCAAUUGGGCUUAAAGUCGGACUUAAGUUCUAUUCUCAAGUUGUUGAGAACACGCCAUGUGGCACUUGUUAGGCUCCACUAUUAUAUAGUAUAUAGAUUUCCACUGAUUGGUUAAUUUUGAGUUCAUAAAUCUCUGGAAAUAAUAUAAGUGUAUGAAAAUCACACAUUUUCCAAUUUCUAACAUUACAUAUAGUCCUAUACUAGUAUACUAGUUCACCUUGAGAAUCAUAUUAUCUCAUAAUGUCACUACAAUCCUACUUUGAUUAGAUUUAUUAUCACUAACAGAUUAACUACCCUCCCAUAAGUGAUGGUUAAUCACUUGUGGCGAUUCUUUGAACCUUCUCGUUACUUUUUAAUAAAAUUCUACUUAUUAAAAAAAAAAAAAACUACCCGCCCAAUCACUCCAUGGCCAUGUAGUCUGCUAUCCAACCUCCAAUUAUAUUCGCCUCAGCAUCUCGCUGCUCGACUAACCAGUUUGGAUCCUUUGGGGAUGGAUGAAGGAUGUCUAAACAAUGUGUUCCUGGAAAACAACAUAAUGUUGUUGUCUAUGUUAGUAAAUUAAAUAACAUAUAUCACAUAAAGAGAAAAAAAAAAUCUAUUCUUUUAGAAACUUUUAAGACUGAACACAGGAGAUUGAGAUUUCUCGAACUCGAAUUAAACAAACUCUAAUAUUUUAUUUUAUUUUUGUUAAAGGAGGACUAAUUAAUCUAUUCUUUCUGCUAUUAUAAAGCUGAAUGAAAUUCAGGGGUAUUUGAGUAUUUCUCAAUCGAUGGGAAUUGAGCUUUAGUAUUUUUAUCACAAAUCUAACUAUAAUACCCUUUGAGUCAUGGUUUUUUAGUAAUUUAACAUAAUACCUUUUAAGUAAUAGUUUUCAUAAUUUAAUAUAUUAAUAUUUAUAGGUUGGAUUUUUUUUCAAAAACAAGAGGUCCAAUAAUUAAAAAAAUAAUCAAAUUAUCAAAUAAAAUUCAGAAGUAUAUUGAGCUUUAGACGACUAUUUAAAAAAAAAAGAGCUGGCCUUUAGAAUUUCGUAUCACAAAUCUAACUAUAAUACUCUUUAAGUAAUGAUUUUAUCGUAAUUUAACAUAUUAUUAUUUAAGGGUUCUAUUUUUAUUUAUGAACAAGAGGCCCAAUAAUUAAUAAUUAAAAAGAUAAUCAAAUAUUAUGACAAUUCAUUAAAAAAAAAAAAAUUAUAUGGGAAUUAACAAUUUUAAAUCAACAAAAAUAUCCUACAAAUGUAAAGGUAAUUUACAAUUAAUACAAAUCAACCUUUACAAAUGUAUACAAAUUUAAUAAAUUUGAUAAUAUAUAAUUAUUGGUUUUAGAAGUAAUUCUUUUAUUAAAGUUAAUAAAUUAGUUUAAUUUAUAAUUAUAACUUAAAACUCGAAUGAUAACCAUAUAUAGAUAAAUUAAAAUUAACCUGUGCGUGGCACCUGCUAACACACUAGUAUGACAGGUAAAGGAAAGUAGGAAACAUACCCUCUUUUGUUGUUAAAGCCACAAUACUCCUUGAGAUAUUAUGUAGCACUCUGCAUUUGUGAUCACAAUAAAAUAUAUUAAAAGACGAAAUCAAUUGUAUUUUGAAAAUUUAAUUCAAAGUAACUAACAAUAAUAGUAAUUUGUCCUAUGUGCACUUCCCCUGUUAAAACUCUUAAGCAUAUGUUAAUUGAGUGUCCUUACACUCAGGCAGUUUGGUUCCUCUGCAAGUGGAAUUUCAGACUUGUGCACUUCCAAAACCUCACUGUCACCCAAUGGAUGAACCUCUGGUUUGCCCCUGACCAAAGCUGGCUCAUAGAUAAAAGUAUUUGGUCUUCUCAAUGUGUUAUCACUAUUUGGAAUAUAUGGAAAGCUAAGUGCAACAAAAUUUUCAAAAACACACAUACACCUGCAGUUUUACUAGCAUUCCAGAUUGAUAGGGAAGUCGACAGAUACAAUGGACAUUCUAACCCAUCUGUUAAUCAACAAAGAAAAGAUGAAACCUCUAUCUGGAUUCCCCCUGAAAAAAAACAGUCUGAAGAUCAAUGUGGAGAUCAAGUUCACAUCAACAAAUGAACUUAUUGGCAUUGGGUUAAUCAUUAGAAACUCUAUGGGAAGUCUACUGUAUGCAGGUUCAGAAUCCAGGAAUGCGAGCAAUUCAGAGGAGGCAGAAUGUUAUGGUAUUUUGGCAGCCAUCCACAAAGCCAAAGAGCAACAACUCACAACAAGAAUUGUGGUGGAAUCUGACCAUCAAAGUGCAAUUCUAUAUCUUCAGGGAAAGCCUUGCAACCUCUCCUGGACUGCGCAAAGUAUUUUGGAUGAAGUGAAGUCCCAGUUUGCGUUUUUUGAUAAUAUUAGUACUAGCUUUUGUAAUAGAUCUGGUAAUGUAAGUUUGGCUGCUCAUCUCAUAACACAAAAUGCUAAUGUAAGUUGUCAUGGUACUACUUCUAUCUGUGUCCCCCCCCCAUUCUUGGUUAGCUAAUCAAGUUCUAAAGGAUACAUUAUUUUGUAUCAGUAGUUCUGUUGUAACUGAAUAACUUUUAUAUAUAUAUACAAUGAUUAUUAAAAAAAAAAAAAAAAAAAAACAAUGAAAGUAAUUGCUAGUUUGCUACAUACCCUCCACUACUGUAAGGAUCUUUUAGCCAGGACUUGUUUUAUAUCCUGCAAUGAUCAUAUCAAGAGCUUAUGGGAUUAGUACUAAGGUAGGUUAUUUAUAUUGUUUUGUGAUCUUUUAGGUUGUGGUAGAAACUUACUUUACCGCCAUAUUCAUUAGUAACCCAGUGAGGCCUUGGUUCAACACCAUAAACUUUGGUGCAAGAUGUCGAGAACUCUGUGAGAUUGAAUGGAGAAUACUGAAACAUGGUCGAUUGCUUGUCAUGACCGAUGGGCAUCACCAUCUCGGUACACGUCUACAACACAAUUUGUAAAUAUAUCAAUUAAUUACAAUAACUUAAUGAUGAUAUGACAAUCUAAAAGAAAAUUAACUUACCUGCCACGCCCAACCAUCAUGAUAUGAAGCAGUGAAACUUGAUGUAUUAUGGCAAGAUACAUUUCCCAUCAACGACCCAACAGCUGCAUAUACCCUCCCAAGAAUACUGGUUCCUUUUGGUGCUCUAUCUAUAGCGGUACAAAUUUGAUUGAGAUGGUAAGUUGGAGCCCUAUUGUAUUGAGCUGCAUAGCAAUACAAAUCAUCCAAAUAGUCCUUAAGCUCUGAAGAUUUGUUUAGAGGCCUACAGCAGUACAUAAGUCACGCAUGUUAUAUAUGUAGCAAAAUUACAACUUAAAGCUUGAAUAAAUCACACAUGUUAUAUAUGUAGCAAAAUCCAUAUAUUAAGACAAUGUAAAGAUUAUUACGAGCAAGUAUUGAAAGUCUGGCUAAGGAUGGAAAGCCCGUUCAUGUUGUUUGCAACUUGGUCGAUUUUUGACCAUGAUUUCUUUAUGGUUUUAUAGCAACUGUCACUGACAUCCUAUACCAUCAAAGACAAGAGAAUUGGUGCAAAAUGUAUUUUGAUUAUAACAAUUGAAAAUUUAAACUAGAACGGACUUUGAGCUAAAAAUUGAACUCAUACAUACUUUGAGAUCUUUGGUUACAAUAGCAUAAUAUCCAUCAUUUGGUUCAAUUCCAUCGAAGUACAAAAUCGGUGCAGAUGACGCUAGUGCACCCACAGCCACAUGUGGGUAUUUAAGACGAAACCAUGUUGCUAGCACUAUAUAAAACGAUACAUGAUUAAGAUGCCGUGCUAAAAUAAAUUAACAAAUAAAUUACUGGUAAAAUAUAUAAAUCUUACUGCCACCAUAAGACCCUCCAAUGACAACAGCAGGACAUCUUUCAGCAGACAUAUUCUUCUUGACGUGCAGAAUCACUUCUACAUAAUCAGCUAAGGCUUGAGCAGAAUUGAGAUACCCAAGCACGCUAGCAUCCUGGAAAGCCUUAUCUUCUGACCCAAAUGGAAUUGAAUCACCAUAAUAACGAUGCUGUAAAAUAUUUUCAUCAAUUAGUAUGCAUAGGAUAUAGUAUACAUGAUUUGGAACAUAUUUACAAAGUAACUUUUCCCUGGCUUGAUAAGAAGAAAAUUAUUGGUCAUGCAUCUAAUGUAUAGCCGAUAAAUGACACCAUCUCUAAUGUAUAAUGCAAUUCAAUAAUAUGAGAGCAAUAUUUAUAGUUGCACUGAAAUGCUUUCGUUGAACUUAAUUACCUCUAUAGCUACCAAGAGGCCAUUAAAUCGAGCCGCCAACCCGUUAUCAGGGGCAUAAUUGCCCAUAGCUGACUCUGCGCCAAGAUGAACAAAUAUUGGGGCACUAUUGUUUGCCCCACCCCAGUAGCUAUAGUUGAUAAUGUAUUUUUGCUUGAAAGUAAGGUAACUAUCUGGCCGAUAGCUGAAAUGAUCAAGUGUUUGUUUGUAGAAGAAGAUCUUUGAGUUCUUCAUCGGUGAGGAAGCUUCUUCAAUGUUGACAUGCUUUGCAAUGUAUCUUUCAACUAGCCUUGCAGUAGUUUUACCUUCAGACACACAAGCCAAAAAAACCAUACAGAGCCAUGGUUGCCAAGAAGAAAUCAUCUCUUGCAAUAAAAAAACUCUGGAAGUAGUUUAUUGAAUAAGCUUUAAUUGGAAGAUGGAAUCAGGGUUUUAAAGUGUUAUUUAUAAAGGUUCUAACAUCUAAGGUUGUUUGAGGUAUGCUGAUCGAGAUGAUGAAGAUCAAAUUAGGCUUGCAUAGUGCAUUAAGUACGUGAUUUACCUUUUGUGUUUGAUGGAGAUAUCAAAUUAAGAAUUUUAUCUGUUGUACAAACAAAUAAACACAUUAAAUUGCUAGGUUGAUAUAUGUAAAUCAUGCAACUAUUGGUGAAAAGAUUAGUGGUUGCGUCCAGAACAGCUGAGUUCGUUACCAUUUUUAGUCAUCAUAACUUAAAGCAGCAACUUUUUAUCCAAACCGUAAGACAUUAUUAACAUUUUUUUUAUGUGCUUUUAAUUGUCUUUAUUUGUUUGAUAAGUUGCACAAAGUCUAAAGCUGAAAAUAGCUGAGAUGUCAAUCUCUGUACGUAUAUUGUUGCAAAUUUGUAACAAAUAGCAUAGAAAACAAACUGCAUUACACUGUAAUAAAGUGUAAACUGGAACUGAAAGGUAACUGAUUUCAACAUGCAUCCAAACUUGACGGGGUCCAUCACUACAUAAUUUUAUUUGUUGCAUAUGUUUUGCUGCACUAACACUAGGAAAUGAUUAGACAUGUAGCAACUACUUGAUCUGUAAUUGAUAUUACUUGAGCUUUUAGGCUUAAUGCAUGGAAAUACUUUAGCAUAAACUCUAUAUCAGAAUCUGAGUGUACAACAUGACCCGAGUCACCAUAUAUGGAUUAUCCUUGUCAAAAAUCCAGAUCCCACACAUUUCUUUAUUUCUUAUCGUAUCAUUAAUUUAUUAUCAGUAUGAUCGAUCAUCUUGAGAGUUUUUUUUUUUAACCUAGACUAGACAGAUACAUAAACCUUUUUAUUCAUUCAUGUUUAAUGUGCCCCUCCCCUCCUCUUGUACCUAAAAACAUAGACUAAAGGUACUAAUCAACAUCCUACGCAAAGGCAUAUCUUAUCAUCCUGCCAACUAACCUGGUAAUUGAAUUUGAGUUUCUUCCUAUAUUGAUCAAUUGCUCAUGCUUGAUUUUAUGGUUCUUCUUAUAUUGAUUGCUUUUUUUUAAUUGAAAUUGAUUGGGUUUAGUUCAUAACAAUUACCAAGCAACUUUGGGGGUGCUCAAGGGUUUAAGCAACUUCUAGAUUUACAAUUGAAUUUUAUUUAUGUAGACAAUUGAAUUUCAUUUUUGUAAAUUUCCCACAAAAAAACUCCAUUGCCACUGAUAUCCUAUACAUAAUUAAUGGACUGAUGGAAGCCCCAUGAUUGGUCAGUGCCCAUGACCCCAUGAUGAUCACUGCAUUCUAAGUUCAGACUUUCAUCACUUUGACACUACCAGUAAUCAGUGGUUUUUUAUUGAUUCAAUUCAAUUUCUCCCAGUCGUAGUCAAAGGACCAUUUUGAUUGCAAUUCAUACAGACUCAAAGAAUGUGUUUUCAUAAUCUUUUGUCAACUAUGUUGUCCUGCUAAUUGCUUAUGUAUGUUUUUUAGGUUGUUUUUGUUGAUUGUAUCGUCAACUAUGUAUGUUUUUGUUGUUGUUCAUUGAAAAACCCACUUUGGGUUACAACUUCGUAAAACAACUCAUUAACCAACCUAUAAUUCAAUAGGGGUGGGCAAAAAACCGGAAAACCGAAUUAAAAUCGGAAUCGAACCGGGUCAAAAUCGGUCAAAACUGCGUUGACCAGGAACCGGUCAAAUCGAACUGGAACUGGAACCGAACCGAGUAUAUACAGUCCAGUUUCAGUUCCUACUCUAAUAUUUCGGUUCGAACCGAACCGAACCGAAAAUAUAUAUAUAUUAAUUUUUUUUAUUUAUAUAUAUACGUUAUAUAUGUUUUUUUUUUAUUAAUGUUAGAUUAUAUUCAACUAUUCAUUAGAUUACACACAAAAAAAAAACCGAAGUUAUUAAAGCCCCAAACACAAAAGCCCAUAAUAAAGCCCAAACCGAAAACCAAACCGAACCGAUUUGGUCCAAUCCAGUUUUAAUAAUAUUUUUCGGUUUUUAAAACCAAACUGAACCAAACCAACUUGUACGGUUCGGUUUCAGUUUAAUGGUAAAAUGGAACCGAACCGAACUAUGCCCACCCCUAUAAUUCAAUGUUCAUAAUUGUGUGUCAUAUAUUCCACCAACUGUAGAUAGUUACUGAAUAUAUGCCACAAUUUCUAAAGUAAAUAAGAAAAUUUAUGUACCAAGAUAGAAAAAAAAAAAAAUAAAAUUGGCUGCUUGAUGGAGAGUAUCCAUUGUCCAUUUCGAAAUUUUGAUGGAUGUACAAAUGAACCGUGUGGAAAUGGAUACAAAUCUUCGUAUUUCCAAAGCAUGUUAAGAAAGAUCACUUGAAGAGGGUUAAUGACAUCGACAGACUGAGAGAUGCGAUCAAAGUUGAUAUAGGUUUAUUUUCGUCGCUUGACAAUACUUUGAGGAGGAUGAACAAAUGGAUGUGUGGUGAUUGUUUUGGUAUCCAUGCAUCGACCAUAAAAUGUAAACAUCUGGAUGGUGCAGUCAUCAAACCACUUGCGCGAAAGGAGACCGGUGAGUUAGAGUGUGCAAUUGUAGGUAUACAACCACCACAGCUUGUGCAUGUUGAUAAUCCACCCGCACCUACAGCAGGAGGGGACACUGGUAUUGAUACUCACCUUUCUAUUGUUGUACCUUCUUUAGAUGAGAUAUCACUUAAUCGUAUUUUCUGUAGACCUUUCCGCACAGUGAAAAGUAUUCCACGUCCUUGUCGAUUAGCAUUCUCAUGUGCAUUAAAGUCAGUUUUGUAUGAGGUUACUGCAGACCCCAUGUCAACAGGGCCAUGGGUUAGAUUGCUCCUGCUUCCCUAUUGCACAUUGCAAGUGUUCCAUCCGCAGAAUCGCCAAGAGCGUCGUUCUGGUGCUCGAAAAUAUCUCCAGCAGAAUCAGAUUUUGCAGGCUCUCUCUAUUUGGAACGAGCCUGGGGGUAUAUUUCGUCUGAUUGAGAGGGUCACACACACAGAGCCUCCGUUGGAACGACCAUCUCGACAGUCCCAAAGCAAGAAUGUACGACGGUGUUUGCAAAAGGUUGCAGACGGGCACUUUGCAGCAGCCGUGAAGGUGUUGGCAUCAUCAGGGGUUGCUCCGAACACUCCAGAGACGCAGCGGGCUUUAGAGGAUAAACACCCGAAGCAUCCACCACCAUCUGUCCCCGACAUUCCUUUACUUGAGUCACCUUUGUCAGUUGAGAGGGAUGGGAUAUUAUCAUGCAUCAGGUCCUUCCCCAAAGGGACGUCUUGUGGGCGAGAUGGUCUCCAGGCCCAACACCUAUUGGAUGCUAUGAGUGGGGUUGCAUCCGCUGUAGCCACAGAUCUUAUGGAGGCCUUGACACCGGUUGUGAACUUAUGGCUACAAGGUCGAUGCCCACGGGUCUUGGCAGAGUUCAUAGCUAGUGCACCUCUCACCCCACUUCUUAAGCCAGGUAACGACAUUCGCCCAAUAGCUGUGGGUAUGGUUUGGCGUCGCCUAGUGUCUAAGAUUGCCAUGAGAGGAGUUUCUAAGGAUAUUGUCCCAUACCUAGAAGAUUUUUAGUUUGGGGUUGGUGUGCCUGGUGGAGCAGAGGCUUGCAUGCUGUUAAUCGGUUGGUUUAUGCCAACAAGGAUGACACAUCGUUUUCUAUGUUGCUUGUGGACUUUCAGAAUGCCUUCAACCUUGUCGAUCGGUCUGCUAUGCUACGGGAGGUACGCAAUCAUUGUUCAUCUAUUGCUCUAUGGGUCGAAUACCUCUAUUGCCAACCUGCUCGAUUGUAUCUAGGGUCUACUCAUAUUUGGUCAGCAGCUGGGAUACAGCAGGGGGACCCUUUGGGGCCUCUUCUCUUUGCUUUGGUCUUGCAUCCAUUGAUACACCGCAUUCAGUCAGAAUUCCACUUGGAGUUGCAGGCAUGAUACUUAGAUGAUGGUACUCUGAUUGGUAGUACAGAACAUGUGGCUAGAGCUAUUCGUAUCAUUCAGGAAAGAGGACCAUCUCUUGGGCUCGUGCUUAAUGUGUCUAAGACAGAGUUGUUCUGGCCUUCUGUUAAUCCUGACUGCUCCUAUCCAGAUAUCUUUCCGGUUGGUAUAUCAUGUUAUCAGCGAGGGGUUAAGUUGUUUGGCGGGGCUGUAAGUAUUGAUGCAUCAUUUAUUGUGGGUAAUGUUCGUCAACGAGUGGAUAAGACACUUCAACUUAUGGACUUAUUACCACAACUAAAAGAUCCGCAAUGUGAGUUGGCACUUUUACGUUCUUGUAUGGGAUUAUCUAAACUCACCUUUGCUCUCCGUACUUGCCCCCCUGAUUAUGUUCAGGAAACAGCUGAAUGGUUUGACCACAAGCUUCGUCCAGUUUUCCAUCAUCUUUCUAUCUUUUCUUACCUAAAUGCCCUUCUCCAAACAUUUUUUGUUUCUUUUUUUCUUUCUUGUACAAUUGAGUUGAAAUCACCAAGAUGGCAAGAUUAAUGAUCAUCCAAUUCAUCUCAAAGAGAAAGUGGGCUGCAAAAGAUCACUUAUGGCAACACUUUUUUGCAAUUUUUUGUAUAAUUUGUUCAUUCUCUUUCAACCAAAUCACUCAAGAAAAUACCCUACCAUAGCAAGAAAAGAAACCCAAAGUUCUAUUUGAAGAGAAAAACCAUGUUUUUUAGAAUAUAUUAAAUACUACGGAGUACAAUCAAAACUAAAUUAGAGGUUCAAUUUGAGAUUUAUUAUUGUGUGGAUAAUAUGGAUAUUGUAGUUUAAGAGAUAGGGGUGGAAUUCAGGGAAAUUAGAGGAUUGAAGUUAUGGGGUUUCAAUCCAAGUUUCUCAAAGUGUUUUUAAAUGGUUGUAUGAGGAUUAAGUGGGGUUCAACGAGGUAAAAUAAAGGUGAUUCAAUAAGGGUAAUGGAAAGAUGGUUUGUUAGCCACAAGAACACCUCUUACGGGUGGUAAUUAAUAGGAUUGAAGUUAUGGGUUUCAAUCCAAGUUCUUCUUCAUCAAUGUUAUCCUUUCCACAAAUAGAAAAAAAUAUACUCCCUCUGUCCCAAAUUAUAAGUACCUUAUUCCAUUUUAGAUUGUCCCAAAGUAUAAGUACCUUUUGAUUUUUGAUGGUUCAUUUGUCUAUAUUACCCUUGUUUUGAGAUAGAGUAAUUAUUCUAAUGAAAAGUUAGACAUUAUAAUUAGUAUUAAAUAGGGGUAAGUUAGGGAGUAGAGUUAGUAGACAAACAAUAAAUGAUGUUUCCUUAAUAAAUAGAAUAUUCCAAAAGGUACUUAUAAUUUGGGACGAAGGGAGUAGGCCCGUAAAAUAGGCCAGGUAGGGCUAGCCCGACCCUUGAACCCUCGAGCCCUCACACUUUAAGGGUCGGGCCAACCUUACCCUAAAAGAUGAUGAGGGUCCAGUAAUGGCGGGCCAACACAAAAAUUGUGAAAACCUCACCCGACCCUUAGUCCUUUAUUUUAAAGGGUUGAGGGUCGGGCUAAUGGGCCCAGUUGAUAGGGUCGAUAAGUAAAAUUAUGUUUUACUUAAAAACAAAUAUGCGAUGGGUUUCAUUACGUGUGCAAUUUACAGCUACAUUCGUUUCAUUACGUGUGCAGUUACAAUAUAAAUCAACAACUAUAUUACGUCGACUUAUCAUAACUGCGCACAAAACGAAUGUGGCUGCGACUACUCUAAAGAAAAACAAAAGUACUACUACCUAAGUUAAAAGGUAACCUAGUUCUAAUGGAAUCUUAGUAAUGUAGUAGUAGUGUAGUACAACUGCAACACAUACAUUGUGUGAAAAAGUAAAUUUAGUAAAAAAAAAAAAAAUGUCAGCUUUUUAUGUAUAGUGUGAUCACAUCAAUUAGUCAGCCAGUCUGGUCAGCGACACCCAACAAAAAACAACAUUGGUGGUGGUGUUAGUAGUUUUUUUUUUUUUUAAUUAAUUAUUAAUUAAUUAAUAAUAUUUGUUUCUUUUGUCAUUAAGAAAGAGAUAGAGAUUUACUAAUCUUCUUAUUAAUCUCAAUUCACAACUUCUCACCUCUCUCUCUCUCUCUCUCUCUCUCUUUCUCUCUCUCUGUGUUGUCUUCAAGCCACCCUCAUCUCUCUCUCUUUUCUCUCUUUCUCUCUUUCUCUCUCUCUUAACCUUCCAACCAUUUUUUUUCUUCUCUAUCUUUCUCUCUCAUCAACAGACCGACCUUUCUUUUCCUUCUUAUCAUCAUCGGUAGGUUUUUGUCUGGUCUUCUCUCUCUUAAAACAGAGUGAAAAAGAAGAAAUCAGAAUCAAUUUUUUUUAGAGAGAGAGAAGAUAAUAACGAAGUUUUUUCUGGGUUUUCUUCAACGUUUCUUCUUAUUCUAAUUUGGGUUUUCUUCAGAUUGAUCGUUGAUCGCUUCUAUAGAUCCUUCAAGGUGUGUUUUUUAUUCAGAUUUUGUGAUUUUUAUGUAGUUUUUUGUAUUUUUAAUAGAAUAUUAAUGAAGAAAUUGAGUUAAAUUUAGCUAAAUUAGGAUUUUUUUUGUUGUUGAUGAUGAUGUUGUUUGAUAUAGAACCGUGACACGGUGGAGACCGACGUUAGAAAUGCAAUAAAAUUUAACAUAUAUGCUUGGAAUAGUUUCCACAAGAAGCACUACUGCCUUAUGCCUUAGCCAUAGGAUCAUAGUUAACCACAAGAAGGAUUAAGGUUCAGCAUUUAAACAAAAAAAAAAAAAAAAAUCCCACAUGUCAACAGUUACAAUAGUUAACACAUACUAGUCAAGCAUCCUGAAGAAAUAUUUGUUCAACAAAACCUAACAAUACACAAGUCAUGUGAUGGGUUUCAAGCUUGAAUCUAAUGCAAAAUCAGCUACAGCAGAGGUUACAUUUAAUACAAAGGCCAGCAACAGUAACCAGCGACUGACUUACAAUAGACGUUGCCUCUUCUUUGGAAGAUUUUCAAAGACCUGAUGUACAUCAACAGUUGUAAUUGGCUUUGAUGAGUCAAUAUUCUCCUGUAUAGAACACUAUAUAGCAUUGUUAGGAACAUAAUUACAAAAAUGUAAACCAACGACUACAACAACAAAAGGCUUCCCCUCUGUAACUUGGCUCGCUACACAAACACAAAAGAAGAAGCCUACCCAACCCAACAUAGAAGAUCAAAAUUAUAAAGAACAUACUAAGAAGGACCUAAACUUACAUUGUGGCUUCACUGUUAGGAUUACUUUUUCUCCCUUCUUCAUUGUCUUUACUGCUUUUGAUAGUGCAUGAUAAAAAUGAUCUGGUUCAAAGAAACAAAAGAAAAGAAAAUACUCAAUAGAAAAUAAGAGCACUCAGAAAAUUAGCCUAAGAACGGAAGGACUUGCCUUUUCUUUUUGGCAGUCAGUUGGUUAAAUUCUUGAAUCUGAUCACAAUCAAGCUCAGAUGAUUCCAACAUCUCCAUGUCUUUCGAAUUUGCACGUAGCCUUGAACAACAACUACUAACUUUGUCAAAUGCCUAAAAUAUCACAUUCAAUUAGAUAAAUUCAAAAAAUUAGAAACACCAUCAACUGAUAGAAAUUGAUAUUAAAAAAAAAAUCUGAAAAUUGAAAUUUAAUAAAUAAAUAAAAGGAAAUAAAAAAGAAAACCCCAAAUCUAAAUUCAAAAAAUUAGAAACACCAUCAACUGAUAGAAAUUGAUAUUAAAAAAAAUUCUGAAAAUUGAACUUUAAUAAUUAAAUGAAAGGAAAUAAAAAAAGAAAAACCCAAAUCGGUUGUUGAUAGUGAAGCACAACAAAUUGAAGAAAUGGAACUAGUGAAACUUACAAAUGGUAUUCAAUGAUUCAGUCAAUCUAUUUGAUUUUAAGUAAAAACCCAAAAAUCUCAAAUUUCAAGGAUUGAAUGAAAAAAAUCCCCAACAAUUUCUAAUUCAACUAAACCCCAAUUCAACCAUAACAGAAAACAAAAACCCUUUUUAAAUAGAAACAAAUUGGGGAAAAAAGCCAUACCUUCCUUUUUCUUCUUCUUUGUUCUUCGUCUUACUACGUCAUUUGGCAGUGGAAGGAGAGAGAGAGAUGGUAAUAUGAUUAUCUGUGUCUUACUACGUCAUUUGGCAGUGGAAGGAGAGAGAGAGAUGGUAAUCAGAUUAUCUGUGAGUUUGAAGAGAGAAGAGAAGAGAAAGAGAGGAUAGAUGAAGAGAAUAGAAAUAAAAGAAAAGAGUCUUUCUUAUGAUGUAGAGAUGGCGAUCUGACUAUCUGUGAGCUGAAGGGAGAACAGAAGAAAAGGGGAGAUAGAAGAAGAGAAUAGAGAAAACGAAGGAGACAAAAAAAAAAUUAAAAAAAAGGAAAAAAGUCGGACAUACAAAAUAAAAUGAAAAAGAGUCGGGGACAGACACGACUUUAAGUACCACUCGACCCUUAAGGGACCUCCUAACGUCCCUUUAAGAGUCGGGUGGAACUCAAACUCGUGUCUGUCCCCAACGUUUUUUCAAGUUUUGUUGUCUGUCCGACUUUUUUUCUUUUUUUAAAAUUAUUUAUCGUCUCCUUUUUUCCUCUUCUUCUAUCUCCCUUUUUUUUUUCCCUAUUUCUCUUCGUCUAUCUCCCUUUUUCUUCUGUCUCCCUUCAGCUCACAGAGAAUCAGAUCGCCAUCUCUACAUCAUAACACAAACUCCUUUCUUUUAUCUCUAUUCUCUUCAUCUAUCUUCUCUUUCUUUUCUCUUCUCUCUUCAAACUCACAGAUAAUCAGAUUACCAUAUCUCUCUCUCCACUGCCAAAUGACGUCGUAAGACGAAGAACAAGAAGAAGAAGGUAUGGUUUUUUUCCCAAUUUGCUUGUAUUUAGAAAGAGUUUUUGUUUUCUGUUAUUUAGAAGGUAUGGGGUUUAGUUGAAUUAGAAUUGUUGGGUUUUUUUCAUUCAAUGUUUCUAAAAUUUGAGAUUUUUGGGUUUUUACUUAAAAUCAAAUAGAUUGACUGAAUCAUUGAAUACCAUUUGUAAGUUUCACUAGUUCCAUUUCUUCAAUUGUUGUGCUUCACCAUCAACAACCGAUUUGGGUUUUUCUUUUUUUUUUCUUUUAUUUAAUUAUUAAAGUUCAAUUUUCAGAAUUUUGUUUUUAAUAUCAAAUUCUAUCAGUUGAUGAUGUUUCUAAUUUUUUGAAUUUAUCUAAUUGAAUGUGAUAUUUUAGGCAUUUCUCUUGGUUGAUUUAUUAGAUUGUUCCCAAUUUAGUGACUAAUUUGAUGUAAUUCUUGUGCUUUUUACUCAGGCUUGUUGAAGUCAGUCUUGAAACAUUUCUAAUUGAUUGAUAAAGAAUAAUUACAUAACAUGUCCAUCUUCCUACUUCCUAGGUUUGAGUUACCUUAUAAAAUUGAAGAGUGAAUGUUGUCUUCAAAUUCAUUUUGUUCAAUGUAAGAUAUGUUUCUUAUUAAUGAUAGUUCUUAGUGUUUGUGAAAUGCCUGGCUGGAAACUGUCUGGCAUGAUAUCCCAAGCAUAAAUGUUAAAUAACUGUUUGGCAUUAUAUCCAGGAUUAGAUUGUAAUUGACGACAACAUCUCUUAAUUACAUUGGAUCAUAAAAUACAUGAAUGAAAUCUUGGUUAUCUGAUGGGCACUCUCAUUCUAUCAACUGUCAGAAAAAUUUAGGUGCUACUACGAAACACCUGUACACGAAAAAGCCGCAAUCUUUACGAUUAAUUUUGCAAACUAGUCUACCCAUUUCUAACGUCGGUCUCCACCGUGUCACGGUUCUAUAUUAGUGCUUAAUUUGAGCUCGAACUGGUUGAGUAGGAAACGAAAAGAAAGAGGAGUGCGAAAGAGACGAACACAGUCCAAAAAAUGGUCCAAUUCUCUUCUGCUAUUCGCGAUGAUUUCAUUCGGUAAUCUCUCUCUCUCUCAAAUCUUUCUCUUUAAAUCUAUUUUCUCUGAGUUUUUUUUUUUUUUUUGAUUAUGUAGGUUAUCUGAAUCAAUCCGAGUAUCCUUAUUGAAAACAAAAUAUAAUCUACCAGAAAGCGCAAAUGUUUGCAUCAAAAGCAUACUCGAAUCCUUAUUACCUAACAACAUCUCCAAAGAACAAGACAUUGAGAAAGAAAUUAGGGAUUUCUGUUUAUGUUGUGCUGCAUUAGCUUCAGUUGAAGAUGAAAAAGAAGAAACUUUACUCUCAUGGAUUCCCAAACAUCUUUCAAUAGCAGCAAAGACUGCAUUAGAAGAACUCUCGAACGCGUUUUUUGGUUGUGUGGAUGAAAAAGAAUUGAAUUUGCAGAAGUUAGUGAUUGAAUUAAUGCCUGAAGUGUUGCCAUUAUUGAAAGAGACUAUUAAAGAAAGUUCAAUUGAUGGUACAGACGCUGAUAAUGAGAUUUCAGCUGCUUCUGCAAGAACUCCGGUUGGUUAUGCGAUUGUAGCUGCUUAUCAAUUUAGGUGGUUUGUAACUCAGGUGUGUUUCAAGUUGAAAUUGUAAUGGUUUAUUGAGUUUUCGAAGAGUGUGUAGAUUUUGAUAGUGAUGUUUUGUUUGUGUUUUCAGGUUAGUUAUCCUCACUUGGGAAAAUUGUGUUCAUUAAUGAUUCCAUGUGCUUUGACAACUCUCGAUCACUGGUCACCUGCAGUAAAAGUAAGUUACUUUAUUGGUCUUUUUGGUUUAGAACAACUGUGUUCAUUUUCAAUGCCUUCUUGGAUUCUUACUUGUUGGUGAUCACUGAUCAGAACAAUGACAUAAUUUUUCUCCUUCAGGGUCAGGGUAUGCUUAGUUUCAUACAUCUUGCAAAAAAUGUGAAUGCUGCUGAGCUAGAAUGGUAUGAAGAUGUAAUCCUUGAUAUAUGUUGUCGAAAUAUAGCUUCUGAUGAUAUGUUAUGGCACCAUGUGGUUGAAAUGUUGGUGCUUUUGUUGACAUCUAUCCAGAAAAAGAACCCUCGUAGCUCAUGGUAUGUAUGAUUUUUGUUUAUGCAAAGAAAAUUUCUUUAAUGCCUUCAUACCAUAGGUAUUAAGAAUUAGCUUUUCAUACCUUUAUGGUGAGCCUAAAAUUUUAUUUGUGGAAAUAAAUAGAUGUUUGAUCAAAGCGAAAUAUAUAUAUUUUCUGUGGGAAUGAAAGAUUGUUAUAAAGAUGAUGAAAGCACUAAGAGGGUUCCAUUGAAAUACAGGAUAUGGUAAUGUGGACACUUUAAAGUCAUCUAAGCACAACAACUAAGGGUGUUAAAUAACUUUCUAGCUGGAGUUUGGCAUUGGAAGUGCCCUUCAGAUCUAUGAGCUUCAACAUGCUUUUAUCUUAUUUGUUUUAACUUUUAACAGAAACACUUACAAUGAAGCCUAGUGUUAUCCUGGAAUAGAUUACGUUUUAUAUGUAGACUUAAUAUGCUUUAUACCUUGCCUACUGGAAUUUAGUUUUCAAUUGCAUUUUAUCAUCCAGUCGGCUUUCGACAUAUUCAGUAGAAUUUCGUAUAUGUUGGAUCUAAACAUUCGUGUGUGUGGGAGGGACUAUGAAUAAAGUUUCCUAUUAUUACUGGCCCACCUAGUGUACUGCGUUAUGCACUGCAUAUCAUUAGUAUUCAUUUUGUUGGUCUGUCUUAGUAAAACUGAGUUGCUUUCGUUUAGGUUUGAGAAGAUGAUGAACGAGAUGUUAAGUCACUUGGAACGCCAACCAAGGAACAAAGAACGAUAUACAGCAUGGCUUGAACUCAUUGAGCCAGUUUUUAUUGCUAUGGGUCUUGUAUUGGUAGCACAUUUCAGGCGUAUAUUCCCACUCCUCUUUCAGUGGAUGCAUAAUGAUGAUGAUAGAACUAUUUUACUGGUGAGAUGCGAUAAUAGCUUCGUGCACAUGAAUAUUUAAUAACUAGAAUUAAAUUUGGAAUAUGCCAUUAUUGUGGUUAUUUCCUUUUUUGUUUCCUUGUAUCCUACAACACGUUUAAUAUCACUACUUCUGUAGUUCUGUAUAUAGAAUAUAGUUCUUGGUACCCUUUUCAAUAAGCCUUUAAAGUCUUACUGCAUGAGCUUCUAACCAGUACAUAUUUAGGGCGAUUUGUAGAAUUAUGAGUUAAAAUGGUCAUUACAUUUGUUCCAACAAAAACUUGCAGCCUGGGGAUGGCCUCGAACUCAUAGUCAUGUAACCUUCUAUCCGACCCCCCAACACCCAAAGAAAGAGUUUCAUCACUUCAUGCAGUGUGGGCGAAUGUGCGACUCUGUGACUCUUUUAAACCAUUGCAGUUUCUGUAAAGUAUCCCUUCAUUUCCCCUCAAUGCAAUGGAAGGAUAUUGAGCAUCUGAUUAAGGUUAGACAUUUAAGUCUUAGAAGCGGUCCAUGCUUGGUCAAUACCUGGUGGGGAUAUAAAAUUUGUACGUCACUGUUUGGCCACAAUAUUUUUUAUUUAGUUUUUACAAUGCGAAUGCGAUGGCCAACUGAAAUAUUUGAUGACAAAAUGAGAUCAUUACGUUCUGUGGUAUGCAGACACAAUUUGAUAUGUAGUUAAAAUCUAAUGAAAGGGUCUAGUUUUUAAUGAGAUCACUUGACUGCUGAACCACACACAAACACAAACUCUGACAUGGAAAUCAUGUUUGGUGAAACACGUGAAAUGCCAAGAUUGUGAUAAUAGGAUGUUUUUGUUGUCUUUCAGGUUCUUCAGCGGACCCAUACGAUCAUAAAGUUAACAUGGAUUAGGAACACACCUUACAUUGAAAGGUCAGCUUCAUAAUGUGUUAAUUUUCUAUUUACUAUACCACAAGUUCUGUUUCAUAGUUUGCUUUGUGUGACUUUCUAUUUGUCAACAAGAUCAUUAUAACAAUUUUUGUACCAUGUGAUAACUUAAUAGCAUCUAACCUGCCCCUAGCAGAUGCCAGCUGAGCCCAGUUGGUAAUACCUCUGGGCGAUGAUACCAGAGGUCUGGGGUUCGAUCCCAGGCAGUGCAUCUUUGACUUACUGAUCUUGUUAAAAACAGGCUUGCCAAUCAAAAAAAAAAAAAAAAAAAAACUGCCCCUAGCUUACCAGCUGCUCAUGUUUUUGAGUGGAGUUACUUUUGAUGUCAUUUGAUCCCUUAUCAUGAUUUCAUUUUAAUUAAUGUUCUUGCUCCCAUCUUCUGACUUUAGAUUGGUAGAUCAUCUGACCAAUACCUACAAGGAAGCCUCCAUGAGAAGGGCUCGUGAAGAAAUUCGUAAAGAAGUCCUUCAGAUGCUUAUCCUACUCCACAAGUAAGCAUAUGUUAUAUAUAUGCAUGCAUUUAUACUUAUGGCUGCAUUGUUCUUAAUAAAAAAAUUCUAUUUGUUGCAAAGAUGCAAGGGCUUGCAGUUUGAAGCAACUUGGAAUAAAUACAGAGAUGAUCCAAACUUGUCUGCACUCACUUCAUUGUUCGGUACUGAAAAUAUAGUCAUGGUAAGGAUGAAAUAAUGUUGUUAUUUGUGUUAUUAAUACUCUUUCGUGUAACACUAAGCAACUAGUACAUAGUGAGUGGUUCACCAGUGAUAGAGUGCCCCUUGUGAACUAGUGCAAUCAACAUCCACUUUUCACAAUGUUGAAUGUACACUGUAAUGUUUUCAUUUUACGAAACUAAACCAAAGUUUACUUGAUUAGUUGCACGUCGGAGAAAACCUAAAGAAAACCGAACCAAGCUUGUGCAACUGGCGCCUUGGUCAAAUUAAGUUUCACUUUUAUUAUGAGUUCUUUGUUGUGAUCACAGAAUGGUGGAUCCAAGUAUCCACCCUGUACAUUAAUUCAUAAUCCUAUCUUAUUGAUAGUCAAGUAAAUCAGAUCACCUUUUUAACUACUAAGUACUAACUUAUCUUUCUCUUCUUUUUAAUGGUUAUAAUCUACCAGGUUGCUUAGUGAUUUAGAAUGUGCGGACAAGCCGAGGUUUUAUACACAAGCAUAUGCUGAAGCUAAUACUGUUAAUGUAAAAUAUGUCCAACCAAAAGCUGGGACCUGUUUGCUUACAAGCACAAAUUGCUGAUCAUUGAAGAAUAUUUUGGAUAAUAAGGCUUCUUGUAAUCCUUUAUCUUGUUGCAUACUAUGUCUCUUUUUUUGGUUCUUUAUUUGAAAAUUGGAUAGUCUGAGACAGACUACGGUAGUACGGUCAGAAGUGAACAUAUCCAGCUUUGGAAAGCAAAUAUUUUGUAUACCUGAUCUUCAUUUAUGUACAGAGAAUUUCAUUGAAAAGAAAGGUUUGUUAGGGGUCCUAACUGGACUCAACUGCUGUUAAAGUGGUCUUUUUUUUCCUUUUCCGCAAACUUGGUCACAUUGUGUGUGUUUUUCGAAAGGGGCUGUUGUUUGCUCACCACUGGGAGAUGGAACCAGCCUUUAAUGUCUUCCAAAAACAAUGUUUCCUGGUUCUUGAUACUAAUAGCUGCUUUAUAAGCAGAAGAUUUAAAGGACAGAAAGCUUCAGCUGACAGGAACUUCAAGCUUUCUUCUGAUUGAUUCAAGUAUUUUCACAGUAAAAUUAUAAAUCACAGUAGAAGCCAUGUCAAGUUUGUUCAGAUGUAGAGCCACAGUUCAAAAUUUUCUUAUGUAGGUUUUGAAUGUUUUUUUGUAACCAAAAUUUUCAUUAUCAUCAGUCAUCCCCAUCCUAAUAUCGAUCACUAAUUUCAAGCCUUCUUCUAAUUUCAUAUCAUGUCAACCACCUCGUCGGGUGUUAGCCAGUAAUCCACAACUAAAACCUAGCUUUUGAGAUAGUUACUGGGAGAUCAAUUUGGGGCCUGGUUUCUGUAGCCUUUGGGGAUGACAGUCAGUUUCGUUUAGUCCCACAUCGACAAGAUAUCAUGUUUGGUAGUGCUAUUUCAAAAAUGAAAUGAGUGUGUAUGGCACGACCUUACUUGAACAGGAUCUGUUCUAUAGGGAAGUGCCUCUGUAUCCUUUAGUAAAAAGGAGACGGUAACCAAAGCUUGGUGGAUGAACCAGGACCGUGUGAUCAGAGCGUGAUUAAUGGCCGAGAUUCAAGCUGUGAAUCUUCUGGUUGUAGAGGAUCGUUCUCAGCUGCCUUGGUGGCUGAGAUGUUCACACGGUUGUCUGACAGGCUCAAAAUCUUUUUGCUUUUCUCCCCUAAGUUUGAUGCAUUUAAGUUUGAUGCAUUUUUCAAUUUAUGCAACUCUAAAUGGAUUCCAUAUAAAUGCAGUAUGAAAUUAUGCUCCAACUUUCUUGAUAACACAAACUGUUUUGGGCUAAUUGUGGUCCUGAUCAAGACUCUGACAUCUCUCAAGAAGAUGUUUAGGUGCUCCUAACUAUAGAUGUAUUAUAUUUGGAUGAACACUUUCGAGGAGUAGAGAUGAACAUUGAACACCCUCAUUUAAGUAUCAGGAGUCCAUGUUAUUACAGCUAUUAUUAGAGGAUAAGAAGCUGCUGGCAAUACUUGAAGCUUGGUGGAUCAGCUGCUGCAGAGAGAACAUGCCUGUCCUCUGAUUGAGGGAUCUGAGCUCCAUUUGGAAGCAUUUCAGGCAGGUGUUGCUCCUAUAUCUACUGUAGAAACUACAUUCUGCACUACUAGUUGUGGUGAAGGGAUGUUUUUGUUGGGUUUACAGCUGUGGUAGUGGUAUAAACAUGAUGCCAAUGCUUCAUGUUAUAUCAAUAAAAUAUGCGCAAUUUACUUGUCCCAUAAGAAGAGGAAAAGGCAUAUUAACAACAUGGUGCCUUGUUAUCCCAAAAAAAAUAAAAACAAUUUGCUGCCUGCACUACUUAAUGAGAAGAAUUUUAUUAUGUUUUUGACUUAUCCAUAUAUCAACACAAACCACAUCAGCCAAACUCUAGCACUAGGGGUGGGCAAAAAAACCGAAAACCGAACCGAAAAACCGAGUCAAAACCGGUCAAAACCGAAUUGACUAAAAACCGGUCAAGACCGGACCGAAACCGAACCGAACUAUAUAGCUAUUGGUCCGGUCUCGGUUCUUGUUUUUAUAGAACCGAGAGAACCGAACCGAACCGAAAUAAAUAAAAAAAUAUUUUUUUUAUUAGUAAAUUACUAAACUAGACAUAGGAAUUAGUAAUUAGUUGUGGACUUAUGGUGGAUCCAUGGUUGGUUAAUUGGUUUUGGACAUUUUUCCUAUUUAGUACUUGAUUUGGUGUAUGUCUUAUUUUGUUUAAAGCCCAAAACUUAAGAAAAAUCAUCUAAAUUGUAGUGGACUAAAGGCCCAAUAAAAAAGCCCAGGACCGAGUUUCGGACUGAAACCGGACCGAUUGUAUUUGGUCCGGUUCGGUCCGGUUACAUUCAAAUAAUUUCGGUCCAUGGAACCGAAACCGAACCGAUACUUUCAAGUCGGUUUGGUCCCGGUCCUAUUACAUUUUAGGACCGGACCGGACCGUGCCCACCCCUAUCUAGCACCACAAUCCCAACAGCCAUGAAAAAAGUGGGAGGGACAAAAAGUAAAGAAAGGGGAAACGUGAGAAAGAAAAAUUCAUUUCCCCGAGCACUCGUAUUUUAUAAAGAGGGAGCUCUACUCUUUAAGUAAGAAAGCAGAGGGAAAAUAGAAUUAGCUGAGUUUGCCCUCCAUCACUCUGCCAGUGCAGUAGGAUGAGGACAGUUUCUUAUUAACUCCAUAGUUUGGUCUCUUCUAUCUUCAGUUCUUUUUCACAAUUUCUCAAAAGCUUGGAUGAAUGAUACCAACGGAUGUUUGUGCUGUUGUGAAAGAUCGUAACAACCCUAAGAUGAAAAAGUUUAAAUACCCUUCCCCCGUUUCUACAGUAAGGCGCCUGACAAGUGCCAACUGGCUGCUUCAAGAAUGAUCCCUAGAGCUACAAUAUUACAUCUGGCAAGAUUUGCUUCAAUCAAAAUUUUAUUUUAAUUUUUUGUUAAAGUAGAUACAAUCAUACAAAUUCAUAUGAGAAAAUUAAUGGGGACUAUUGUUUUUAUUAUUUCACUCAACUUCAUAGAUAAAAUAUUGAACUUAAGUUUUAUUAUAUAUCCAAAACAACUGAUUGUUGCUGCUCUUUUUCUCAAUUUUUCUUUAUCGAAAACAAAGAAUAAUAUCUCCAAAAACUAAACCCACCUAUCCCAUAUAUAUCUUAAUUAAUAGGAGGGUCACUGUUGAUGUUGCAAUUAAGUUCAUACCCCAACAAUCUCAAUUACAAUUAAAACCAAAAAUCACGAAUUACUGUUGUUGUAUUUACACAACAAAAAAAAAAAAAAAAGAUAGAUAGAUCUUUACCAUAAAAAAGAGAGAGAGAUAGAUAUAUAAAGAGAGAAAUACCUGUUAGUUGAAAUUGAGAGAGAUACCUAACUCAAAAUAGUUGAAUCAAUUCACUUGAAGAGAAACCCAAUAAAAAGGGAAGAUAGAGAAGAAGAGAUUUCUAAUAGGGAAGAGCAAGAAGAAACCAAGGUAUGAAAGAAAGUGGACGGGACGGAAGAAAAAACUGAAAAAUAGGGGGUGUGCCCUUUGCCUAGAUAUAUUUAAGUGAAACAGGUUUAACCGGUUAAGAAGGGUGCUCUUAAUUUUUUCACGAGGUGUGUGCCUCUAGAAAAGUGGCGUGUGCUUCUAGCCUUUUAAAGGCAAUUUCUUAUAGGAUAUAAGAUGGGCUUUACUGUAGCUAAAGGCAGGUUGCUUUACAAUUAGUAAAGAUUUGAGCCCAAUAGUUGUGUAUGUGUGUGUUGUGAAUUAUGUUAUGUGAUAUGUGAACUGUGAAGUACCUCUUUGUCCUCAAGUGAAAAGGAGAAGGAAACCAAAGCUUGUUGGAUGAACCAGGACCGUGCGAUCUGAGCAUGAUUAAUGGCUGAGAUUCAAGUUGUGAUUCUUCUGGCAGUAGGGGAUCAAUCUCAGCUGCCUAUUAGACUAUUAAUAGCUUUUUCUCCCCCAAACGAUUCUUGGGCCUAAGACUAAGUUGAGCUUAGUGGUCGAAGUAAUUUGUGUUUUUUAGUUUGGUAAUCUAAGAGCAUUCGCAAUGGUAGAUUUUAAAUCACUUUUAGCAACUUUUAAUAAAAAACUCUUGCCAAUAGUGGGUUUUAACGCAUUUUUCAAGCAAAACACUUUUAGAGCAUUCCUAAUGGUAGGUUUUAGCACACUUUUAGUGUAAACAGUUGCCAAUGGUAGCUUUUAACACACUUUUCAAGCAAAACACUUUUAACUCCUUGGCAAAUUUGCUAAGGAGUUAAAAGUGCCACGUAGGAAUCCAUCCGCCAUAAUUAGUGCGGUAUGGAUCCAUACCCCACAAUGAGUGCGGUUUCAAUAAUCCACCAUUGGAAACACCAAAAUUCCUUAAAACCAUCCUAUGUGGCAUCACUAAAAGUGUUUUACCAUUGAGAAUGCUCUUAUCUCCUUGGCAAAGAGUUAAAAGUGCCCCAUAGAACCAUUUUAUUAAUUAAAAAUUAGAUUUCAUCACAAUGUACACUAUAUUUUUGGAGAAAAGUGAAACCUUAAAUUUUAACACUAUGUUAAAACCUUUUCUCUCUCUUAUGUGGCACCCUUAAAACCCUUUUACUAUUGAGAAUAAUCAUGUUCUUGAAAGUAGCGGUAAGCUCCAUCUCGAGCUUGGUCACAGAUCUGGGUUGCUGAGCUCCUUCUCUUCUAUCUCCUUGUGAUACCUGCAAAGACCACCGGCUAUCAUCCGGUGGGGAAAGCUCCAACGCCCAAGUUAGUAAUGGAGGCCAACUUAGAAAUUAGAUUAAAUAAAGAGUGAAUAGUUACCUUGUGUGAACCCUAAUGUUUUCCUUAUAUAGCGGUAUUAACCGCCUUCUUCUGACCGUAGGAUUCCCCUCUGCAUCCUACGGUCCUUCUAUCUCUUUCGUGGCUCAUCCUCCAUCACAUACUAUAGGGUAAGUGCUUGACAACUAGGUAUCACGUGUUUUAUCCGUGAUGCUCUAGAAUGUUCUAAGCUAUUAUUAGGUAGUUCUCGGUUUUCCUUACUUGGCGUACUCCUACGUUCUUUACACGCCACCUAGUAUGGUACUUACAGUAGCAAUAAUCAUGUUCUUAAAAGUCAUUUAUUUCUCAAAAAAAUAAAUAAAUAAAUGCAUUGUGAAGAAUCAUUCAUAGCAACUGUUUGAUGCAAUUUCAACGGUGCUACAUAACCUCAUUUGCAACUAGCGACUGUUUGGUACAAUUUCAACAAUGCUACAUAACCUCAUUUGCAACUACAAUCUCUCUCUCUUCAACUGCAAAUCUUCAAUUUAGAAUUGUGCAAUAUUCAAAAUCUCACAGCUAUCAGUAACAUCAAAUGGUUACGGUGUAGACCACAUAUCCACAAAAUAUUUAUUUUCAAUAUCAUCUAUUAGUUUCUUGAGGACAUUUUCAUGAGCUAUAUAUAUGACUCCCAAGUCCCAAUAUUGGAAAAUAGCAAUACUGUCAUCUUAACUCUUAAGUUGGUCUCCAUAGAACAAAAUAUGGCCACUGGUAAGCUUGAGAUGGAAAAGGAAGCAAAGUGUAAUCCUCAGAAGUUCUACGGUAUGAUCAAGUACACUCUUCAUCACCUCCAUACUAUCUUCCCUGAGUCAUACAAGAGUAUUGAUAUACUUGAAGGAGAUGGUGAGAGUGUGGGUUCUGUCAGGCUUUGGAAAUAUGUCCUCCCAGGUAAAACUUGCAUAAUCACACAAGAGGAUGAUUAGACAUCAAAAUCUAUCUCAUCGUCUGGUUUCUUGAUUAUACUGUAUCUAACUUGUAUAUAUGAUGAUGAUUUUUACAGGGACAUCCGAAGUUUUGACUGCUAAGGAAAAGACUGAAGUGAUAGAUGAUGAAAACAUGUUGAUAGUUUGGAACAUAUACGAAGGAGAUCAUACAAAUCAUUAUAAUGGUUUUGUCCUGCUAAAGAUGCAAGUUGUUCCUAAUGGUGAAGGGAGCUUGGUAAAAUGGACUUUUGAGUAUGAAAAGCGCAAUGAGGGUGGACCAGAUCCACAACAGUUUAUGAAUAUGUUUGUCAUGUUUGGUGACAAGUUGGAUGCUCACCUUGCUGCCGAGGCCUAAAUGAAGUGCAAUACUGCAACCGGACCUCUGAAAUAAAUAAGUGAGACGAGGAACAUCUGUUCCAGACAUAGAAUGCUUCGCAUAUAUAAGUUAUUUUGUACUUGUUAAAUAAGAGAAGUUAAUAUUCUUCUUUUCCUUGUUUGAGAAAUAUGGUGUCCUCUAUGGUUACUGUUUGAGAAGUUACUAUUUGUUCAAGUGUUUAAUAUGAUGAUCUCAUUUACAUCUAAUGCCCACAUAACUCGUUGCGAUGGAUGUUUGAUUUCUAUUACGUUGCAAUGUUUUCUAAGGUAAGAGACAAAGCGUCUAAAUUUAGUUGUCUUUGACAGGGAGCAUUAGCACCAUAGUCCCACAUCGACAAGAUAUCAUGUUUGGUAGUGCUAUUUCAACAAUGAAAUGAGUGUGUAUGGUACGACCUUACUUGAACAGGAUCUGUUCUAUAGGGAAGUGCCUCUGUAUCCUUUAGUAAAAAGGAGACGGUAACCAAAGCUUGGUGGAUGAACCAGGACCGUGUGAUCAGAGCAUGAUUAAUGGCCGAGAUUCAAGCUGUGAAUCUUCUGGUUGUAGAGGAUCGUUCUCAGCUGCCUUGGUGGCUGAGAUGGUCACACGGUUGUCUGACAGGCUCAAAAACUUUUUGCUCCAAACGAUUCUUGGGCUAAAGACUGCUACUGUUCUCAACAUGCAAUUGAACUAUAACUUAGCUCUCUUCAACUGCAAAUCAACACAAUGUAAAAGAGAUCCACAACAGUUUAUGAACAUGCUUGGCAUGUUUAAUGACAAGUUGGAUGCUCGUCUUAUUGCCAAGGCCUAAAUGAAGUGUGAAAUAAAUAAGUGAAAUAUGAACAUAUGGAUCGAGUGCUUUCACUAUGUAUAAGUUUUUUAUUUAUUUUUAUAUAUUUAUAAGUUGUGAUUUGUCAAGUCGGAACCCUUCCUUGUUUGAGAAAUAAUAUCAAUAUGGGGUCUUCGACAGUAUAUAUACAUAUAUAUGAUCCUAUUCACAUCCCAAGCCCAGACAAUUCAUUUCCAUGGAUGUUUGAUUUCAAUUAUGUUUCAUAGUCUUCUACGAAAUAACAUCUUCAACGAAGCUAUUUCCACAAGAGAAAUGAGAGUGUAUGGUUCAACCUUGCUUGAAGUUCAAGCCUGUAGGACUCCAGUGUGAUGACACUGUAUUAACCUAUUUCUAGAUUAAUGCACUACUAGGUCAGGUCGCUGGGAGACUUGACCAAAGGGGGAGAUUUUAGGUCGGGGUGGCUGCACCUCGUUGAGAUCGAGAUUGCCUACGUACUCUUAGCUCGAGGGGAUUGAACUUAGAGAUCAAGCCAUCGUAGUUCUGCUCUUAUAGAAGGUAGAAAGGUGUGGAUCGUGGAUCUUGCAGAUUCUCCGUCAUCAUAAUGAGGAUUAAUUGUGUAACGCGCGUGGAUCAUCCCUGUGAAUUAAUUAUGUAACUGACAGAAUAUUCUGUGCAUUGAAUGAGAGCGCAUGUGUGUAAGCAGGCCGCUGCUCGUUAUGAGGUCGAGCUGUUGUGGACGAGCUACUAGCAGGUAGAGAUCGUGGCGACCUGGUGGAUGAGUGACUGUGCCACGUGGCUGCUUUUGAUUGGUUGGAGUAUGUAGUACCCCUACAUAAGCCCCCUCUUUUUAGGUCGGCUGUAGAAGUCGGGCUGAAAAGACUAAUAACUCUGAUCGAUGUUGAUUUGUGGUUUGCUUUUUGAAUUUUCUGACGUGGCGGUCAUGCAGGCUUGUCUGUACUAAUCAUGGCGCUCUUACGGGGAAGUGGGAGGUUUUCCUCGAGCAGUUAGUUGCGCAGUUAUGGCAACUGGCGCACCUCUUGCCUGAUAUAGUCGUUGCGUGGCACGUGGGUUGAUCCGACGGUGGAUGUGAAUCUUUUAUGAAGUGAAAAAUAACUGCAAUGGAAGUGGAUCGUCUUGUUCGAUCUCAGCCGUUCACCUUUUUCGAACUGAUGGCUGGGAUUGUACGAGCUGCAGUAUUUAAACUGUAGCUUUGUUGAGAAGGGUUUACCUAUUUCGCUUUCAUUUGAAUUGCUGCCGCUUUACUCUUGCGAUCUGAAGAACUUUGAGAGCUCGUGAGGUUAGUUUUCUUCUCUUUCUUUUCCUUCAUCUUCUGUUUUCAUUUCUGUUGUUUGAGAGAAAUGUCUGAUUUGAGUGACUCUCAAAAUGAUAACCUGAGUGGUGGUGGCGGUGAGGAGUAUGAGUCUAAAAGGACUCAUUCUGAACCUUUGUCGCCCAUUCGUGGUGUAGACCCUGAUAGCCCCCAGAGUAGUGGCUCUCACGGGGCUGACUCGUCUGACGAGGAGAUGGUGGAAGGAGACGAUGGUUCGAUGUGUAGAGUAGUGAACCUUAAGUACGUAAAUAGGCACAUUGCAUUUAGGAAGCAGUAUGGUCUUAGUUCCAUUGAUCAUUUGGAGAUUAGAUUUUUAGGAGAUCGUUUACUUUCUGUUGAGUAUCGACCUAAAAAUCCUUUUUCGACUGUUUUUACCUUGACCCAAUUCCGAGCUGGGCUGAGGCUGCCAUUGUCUUCUUUGGUGGUCGACCUGUUGAAUGCUAUUGGUCGAGCCCCCUACCAGAUGAAUGGCAAUUUCUGGAGCAACAUGAGGGUAAUUGAAGACCUCAACAAGUUGCAUAGGUGGAACGUCACUGUGAAGGAUGUGUUGGACCACUUCUGCUUCAAACGUUCUUCCAAGGCUGACUUUUCCGGCUAUAACAUGCAAGUUAGGCCAGAACGUUUGCCUUUGAUCUAUCCUGUAAGUAGUGAGCCAUGGUGGAAAGAUCCCAUGCUGAUUACUGGGUCGAUCAUUGAGGGAAGCAUCCAGUUGCGUCAUGUGACUAGGAAUGAUGCUCGUAAGUUUCUGGUCGUUAGUCUUAGGAGAUUUUCCUUUUUCUGUACCUGAUUAUGUUGUAUCUUUUUGCAGCGAUCAGGGACGAUCAUCUUGUGAGGAAGAACGAUCUGAGAUCCGCCUUGAACGGUUUUGGUUUCUGGUCUGACGAGCGUAAGAUAAAUUUCUUACCCCACCUGAAGGAGCAUUUUAUUCCUAAAGGUGGUCCGAAAACAGUUGCGGAAGAGCUUCAGAGGAGGAAGUCGCUGAGGAAGGCUCAUAUGUCUGCUGUACAUAAAGGUGAGGCUGGGCGUUCUGCUGGCAGCUCGCGUGCUGGUGAGAAGGAACGAGUUGGUGGUAGCUCGAGGCCUGCUGAAAGAGAGCGGUCUGGUGUCGUUGUUCGGAGGUCGGAGAAGGAACGACCUGUGGAGAAAGAGAGAGUUAGUGGUAGCUCGCGCCCGGUGGAGGUAGUGGCGAGCCCCCUAGUCGUGUCUCCUCCGCUUUCAUUUCCCAAACUGCCUGCCUUUUCUGGGCAGAAGAAGAGGUCUCAUUCAGGUAACCUGAAGCUGUUGGAGCGGCCCAUUGUGCCGACACCUGCUCUUGCCCCGUCUGGCAGAGCUCCUGAGAUGUCUGUUGUGUCCAGGAAGACUGCUGUUCGGCCCUUGGAGAAAGGCAAGGGUGUGUUGUCUGUGUUUCGCCCUGGGCCGUUCGACUAUUUGGACGGCCGUGGGGAGAGGCAUGUCGUAUAUGAUAACGACAGUGCUAUUGACGACCCCUGCGUCGCCCGGGCUGUGAAUGAGGGCAUCGUUCUGGAAGCUGAUGCUCGAGCUGUGAAGUCUCAGACUUUGUUGGUCACCUGCUCGAAGUUAAAUGCGGCGCUGGCUUUGGUGAGUGUUGCCAUAAUUAUUAUCUUUGUUUCUGCUUAGUCGUCGUUGCCUAAUUCUGCUUGCACUUGUAGGUUAAUGCGAGCUUCCAGGAAGUGCGCCUUGUCGCUGAAGUUGGUGCCCGAGCUGAGGUUGAGCUGAAGGAGCUGAACGAGAAGCUUGAGCAGGCGAAGAACGUUGCUGCUGUUGCGGAGUGCAAGGUGAGGGACAGGGAUGCUCAGGUCGCAGCGUUGAAGGAAACCAAUGAGCAGUUAAAGGAAAGUUUGGCUGCUGAUAAGGCUUCUGCUGACCACUGGCAGAACGUAAGCCAGGAAAAUGGUGCAGCGUGGCAGGCCUACUGUGAGCAACUGCAUAAAGCUUUGAUGGGGUCGCCCGAGGGAGAGGAGACGCGAGGUGGGGCCGAAGAAACUUUGGCGCCAGUUCAGGACGCCUUGAUGGGCCCUAGUGACCAGGUCGCCAGUGGCUGUAUGGAAAUUGAUGGUUCCAGCAACCAGCCAGUGCAGCAAUGAACUAGUCCGGGUCCCAGCUUUCUUGUAUUGGGUAACCUUGUGCAAACUUUGCUUCUUGCACUCCUUGUUCUUGCAGUACGUCUUCUUUGGUCUUCCUCUAAGCAGUCCUCUGAGUUUUUUGUGCUCGAAAAACAAUUGUUUGUUGGAGUUGUAUUGAACAACAUUGAAUUUGAUGAGCUUGUAUUUAAGCCGUUCUGAUCAGCUAGUUUCCAGGGAGUCCUGGUAGCUCGUUCAGAAGGCAGGUAGACGAGAUGAAUGGCUGCAAGCAGGACGAAUUGAAACAGUUCUUCUUGUAUGCCUUAGUUUGACUUUGCUUUUACCUGUAAUGGUUAGAAUCUCCUUAAGAAAAAAGAAAAUUCAAUGAUUUACCUUUUAUUGUCAUUCUUGCUACGUUGUCUGCUUGUAUGAGUUUUGCAAACAAGUAGUAACCAUAGUGCUGGACCUGCUGGUGGAUGAGGUCGUGUGCAUGGUUGCUUGAUUGUACAGAGGUCGUGGGAAUGAUAUGAUUAAUGCACCAAGUUAAGUUGCAGAUGUUUGAACUUAACAAAUUAAAAUCAUCAAAGGGACUAGAGUUUUGAUAAUUUGUAGGUCGAGGGGGUAGACCUUUAAGAGCCAUUCAUGUUUGAGCUGAGAUGAAGGCAACAAUGUGUUUUAUCAAUGAAAUGUAGCAGCUCGACGACAAGGGCGUCGUUGUGAGGAGUAACGACCUUGUUGAGGUCGUCCUCGGUGAAAGUGAUGUCGGACUCUUGGCGGGCAGGGAUGUUGAAACGAGCUGCUCGACCAGUGAUGGACUAGACAUGAUGAAGAUGCUCUACUCGUCUCUUCUUCUCUCGAGAGACAGGGGUGUGGUUGGAUUCGUCAAUCAUGUAGACUACAUGACUGUCCGAUUCACUGUCGUUGUCGAUCUUAUGUGCGACCUUCUUGUUGAUUUGGUCGCGUAGGUCUCCUGUUGGACCUAAACGUUGGGAGAGGCUACGCCCUCUGCUGCGGACUGGACUUGCUGAGGCCGUUCUGGCCUUGUUGUGAUUUCUUUUUGGGGAACGGGGAGGCGUUCUGGACUCCUUCCUCACCCGCUUGCCUGUGGAUUCCUCAUUCCUUCCGAGGAUCCAAUUGUUGAGCCUUUUCUCGUCGGCCCAUGUUUGCAGUGCGCGUUUCAGAACGCGACAGUCAUCUGUUUGAUGACACCGUACCUUGUAGACUUUGCAGUACGGUCGUCCAGAUGUAUCCUCCAGCUGUGUGAAGGUAGGAAUCCUGCACCAGUGGUUGUGCUUGAUUUGCUCGAUUAUGUAACCGGCUGGUCUUGUGAACCGGUGAUACUCUCGCUGCUCAAUAGGCAACGACUUACCCUUGAACCUCUUGCCAUCUGACCGAGGUCGCUUGGUUGAGUCAGACUCCACAUUGCUGACUACGUGAUUCUUCUCCCUCCCAGUGAGGGCUUCCUCGAGCUUGAUAUAACGAUCUACCUUUAGGUAGAGCUCGUCCAGGGAUGAAGGUCGCUUCAUGGCUAGCGACUUGUGGAGGUCGGACCCCUGGGUCAGACCGUGAGUGAAUGCGAUGGUUGCAAAGGUCUCGUGCUCCUUUGCAAAAUCCUGAAUUGAGUGUAAUUCAGACUUAAAACGAGCAAAGAAAACGCUUAGUGACUCACCAUCUCGCUGCUUGACUUUGAAGAUGGAAUCGAUGGUGACUGGGCGCUUCUUGUUGUGGAUGUAGAAGAUGACGAAUUGUUUCUCGAGCUCUGCAAAGGAGCUGAUGGAUCCUGAUUUCAAACGGUGAAACCAGUCGAGAGCAGGUCCGGUGAGACUAGACUGGAACAGCAAACAUAAAAGGUGAUCCUCCUUGAUCAGAGGAAGGGAUUUCCGGAAUCCCUUGAUGCGGUCGGUUGGAUAUCCGACUCCGGCAUACUGGUCGAACUUGGGGGCAUUCAGCUUGUUCGGCAAAUCAUGUUCAAGGAUAUCUUUGGAGAAAGGAGACUCCUGGAACUGUUGGAGGGACUGUACAGCAAGUUGCUCCGCAGUGUGGCUCUUGGAAUGGUGAAGGAGAGCCUGGGAGGCUUUGAACUCCGCCAGUUGUUGGCUGAGUUGUUCGAAUUUCUGGUUGGAAUCGUCAGCAUGAACGACUCCAUGUCCGCUAUUUUCACCUUGUUGGGGGUUGGUUUGUGCGGCUUUCAGGCGUGCAUUUUCUUCCUGCAAAAGAGUGAUUCGAGCAUGCAGAUCAUUGAUAGUUAACUCUGGGGUAGUCAUUUGAAUAGAUGACUUUGAGAAGGGUGGGAGGGUUUGGGUUUUUCGAUUUUAUAUCGAAUUCCUUGCAGUCGGCGCCAAAUGUAUUAACCUAUUUCUAGAUUAAUGCACUACUAGGUCAGGUCGCUGGGAGACUUGACCAAAGGGGGAGAUUUUAGGUCGGCGUGGCUGCACUUCGUUGAGAUCGAGAUUGCCUACGUACUCUUAGCUCGAGGGGAUUGAACUUAGAGAUCAAGCCAUCAUAGUUCUGCUCUUAUAGAAGGUAGAAAGGCGUGGAUCGUGGAUCUUGCAGAUUCUCCGUCAUCAUAAUGAGGAUUAAUUGUGUAACGCGCGUGGAUCAUCCCUGUGAAUUAAUUAUGUAAUUGACGAGAAUAUUCUGUGCAUUGAAUGAGAGCGCAUGUGUGUAAGCAGGCCGUUGCUCGUUAUGAGGUCGAGCUGUUGUGGACGAGCUACUAGCAGGUAGAGAUCGUGGCGACCUGGUGGAUGAGUGACUGUGCCACGUGGCUGCUUUUGAUUGGUUGGAGUAUGUAGUACCCCUACAGACACCAUUUGAGGCUCUAUAUGGUAGACCCUGUAGGACUCCAGUGUGUUGGGCAGAGCAUCAUGAUCGUAUUCUUAUGGGAGGACCAAAUAUGGUCAAAGACACUACUAAGAAAAUUGUAUUGGUUCGGGAUAGAAUUGUGGCUGCUCAGGAACGCCAAAAGCGUUAUGCAGAUAAGGGACGGCGACCGAUUGAGUAUCAGGUUGGAGACCCGGUUCUAUUGAAAUUAUCUCCUAUGAAGGGGGUACGACGCUUUGGAAAAAGAGGGAAAUUGGCACCACGUUUCAUUGGACCUUUCACUGUUUUUGAACGUAUUGGGAAAGUGGCUUACAGGAUCGAAUUACCUCCUGCGUUGGCUGAUGUCCAUAAUGUCUUCCAUAUAUCUAUGUUGAGAUUCUUUAAGAAGGAUGACAAGAAAGCACGACAUAAUUAGAAGGAGAUGCAGAUUAAUUUGGCAGACUUUCAGAUAACUCCAGAGAUGUCAUAUGUGGAGAAACCAGUGAAGCUUCUCAAAAGGGAAGAACGAGAACUUCGUAGAAGGAAGAUUCCUUUUGUUCAGGUUCUAUGGACUGGACGUACGGAACGUGAAGCUACUUGGGAACGUGAAGAGGAUGUUCGUCGUGACUAUCCGGUUUUCUUCGAUAAGGUAUGUGUGAAUCUCGAGGACGAGAUUCCUAUUUAAGGGGGGUAGAUUGUAAUACCUUGUAUAUUCACCUGUUAGCAUGUUUUAGCAAUUGCUUGUUGACUGGUAUAACAUGUUAUAUGAUAUGCUUAGGUGGCAGUCCAAAACCUGUUCACACUCAAGACCAAAUCUGUUGGUGUGUUCACACUAGGAUGAGAAUCGACUUAUGUUGUUGUUAUUAACUUAACUUAGUUAGUAAGGAAUUGAACCGACUUACCUUAGGAUAUAUAUAUAUAUAUGCUUAUAACAUGUUUGCUGAUAUACAUCAACAGAAAAUAACCUGCUUUUGAUAGUGUUCACACUAUAUACUUCAAUUUUGAAAAAGAAGUUGCAGAAAUCUAUCAGAAGAAGAAAAACUAUUUAUAAGUUAAAGAUCUCGAUACUUGGAAUCUCUAAUUUGCGAAUUUCUCGUUAAUAGCUCGUUGUUGUAGUGUUUUCUUCGCGAAGCGAGGUAAGUUACAUGAUUUGAUAUCUUCUCUUGCUUUUAGGAGAUAGAUGAGGUUAGUGGGUGUAAGAGUAUACUAUAGUUAUAGUCCAAUUUCGGUUAUGCGUAUUAAUUGAAUUUGUUUGAUUUUGAUUUCAUAAAAUUGAUAUCAUUAUUCGGUUAUUGUUGGAAAAUUGAUAGGAAAGCAUGUUAGUGUGUUUAUUUGAUUCUAACAUGAUAUUGAUUGUCAUAAAUCCUAAUUGACGCUGCAGUAAUGUAUUAGAUUAUUAGUGACAUUAUUCAUGUAUAAUUUUCAUGCUAAAUGUGAGAUUGCAUAUUUUGAAAUUUAUGCGUAUUGAUAGUUAAGAUGCAUUCAAUUUGAAUGAAUGGAUUGAUUUGUGUGAAAAGGGCUUUCGAGCCAGAGACUGUUUUGAACAGUCUGAAUUUGGGGAGACGUCCCUGGAGUGUACGGAGAGUAUUGCUCGGUGUCGCAUACAGAAGUACACUCAGUGGUGCUUUGUCACCAACCUUAUGAGGCUGCGGAGAGUAUUGUUCGGUGUCGCAUACAGAUGCAUGGCUGGGGUACUGCGGUACCAGAUGAUUUGAUAUCAGAUGGAUGGGCUUUAUGCCAUAUGUGUGAUGAUUAGAUUGUUUAUAUAAUUGUUUAUUGAUUCGAGUUGAUGGAAUUGAUAUAAUGAUUAUAAUUGAUACAUGUAUUGUAUUGCUAUAUUUUAUUGGGUGCGCUGAUUCCGUCCCUGGGAUCAAGAUCGGAUAUCAAGUUGUGUAACUUGCUAGCGUUUAAUCGCUCAUUUUUCCCUUCCUUCCAGGAAACAGGUAAAGCGAUUCUCGGAGCGUGCGAAGAGGAUCUAGUUGGAGAUAGUUAGCUAAGCAGGUGCUCUAAGUUGUAGUUAGUCUUUUGUUAUCAGUGUAGCCCUUGGGGCAAACACAGUAUGUUAUCCUUUCAGUUGUGUGUUUUUCUUUCAGUUCAACCCUUGUAUAUAUGUAUAUACAGAGUUCGGCUUGAAUAAAUCUUCCGCUGUUGUUUUGUUCGAAUUUUGUUCGUGUGAUAUUUUAUUAUUCUGUCCUUACAUGGAUAUUGGAUUUGGAGCUUGGCGUCACGUGGCAGUAGUGUGAACCUACGGUUCAUGGUGGACAUAUGGAGAACAUUACGACUCUGGAGUCUAGUCUUAGCCUGAUCAACUAGGAUUGGAUUUUGGGGGCGUCACAACAACUCAGCAUAAACAUGAUUGGCAUCCAUAUCCUUCGAUUCGUCAGAACUAGGCCACCCAGUCUCUGUCACAAUCAAGGGUAUAUUUUCAUGACCUUGUAAUGCCAUUGCAGUAAGGACUGAAUCAACCAUCAUAUCGAAGAGAUUUCGAUAUCGAACUCCAGUCAACAAAUCAUCACGAAAAACAAAGGGAUGUUCUUGAAAUAUUGCAUACCCAAUCGUUAUCUCAGGGUUAUUCCGAUACAAAUUGUAAGGAUACAAAUUAAUCAAGAAAGAAGAAUUCGUCUCAGACAAGAAACCCAAAAGUAGUUUCAUCAAAGAUUCAGCUAAAGGUUGUUGAAAUUCUGCAGAAGAAGGUGGGAAAGCAGUAGUAAUGACAUUAAUGAAUGAGAAAGUAGUUGAAACUUUAAUCUUAUCAAUUCCAAGUUCAUCAAGAGCUUGACGAACAUUUUCCAUUGCAGAGAGAAGAAAAUCAGAAUGAUUUGAAUCCGAAGUAGCUUCUUCUUCUUCUUCUUCUUUUUCUUUUUCAUCAAGAACAUUGUUACCAACAGAAAUUGUUGAAAUAUGAACUCUAGGGUAAAAAGGGGUAACAUGAUGAUUAAGCCAAUGAAGAGCUUCAGAUUGAUUUGAAGCAAUUUGUGUAAUUAAUGAAUUUGGGAUUGAAAGAAGAAGAGAAAUACCAGAGUAAGAAAAACUUCGAAUAAUCUCUGGAUCAGAAUCAGGUAAUCUAAUUGAGUUGAUUUUGAGUGAUUGAAGAAGUGAAACGAUUUGAUGUGUAGUAGUUCCGAUCCUCCUCUAUUGUUGUAUGUAAUUCCAAUUGAUGGAUGAUUUGAUUCAGUUCCAGCAGAUGGAACUAAGAAUGAGAAGAAGAUGAUGAUGAAGAAGAUGAACAAGAUUGACAGAUUCUUGGAAGAAGAAGAAGAAGGAUACAUGUUUUACUUUCUUGAUUCAGAGUUUUCAAGUUUGUGUGUUUGUGUGUUUUCUUCUAUCUCUUUCUCUGGAAUUUGUUGCAGAAAGAAGAUUUUAGAAUGUGCAAGGGUGUGAAGUGUGCACUCUAGUGAAGGUUUAGAAGGUGCGUAAUGCGCAUCGUGCGUACGUUAAGCGCCUUCAGUUUGUUGGAGUUUGUUAUUUUCGGCGGGAGAGAAUCACAGCCGUUGAUCUUUGCUGCACGUGUUCCGGAAUUCUGUUCUAUGACCCACACAACCCAAGCCCAUAUUUAAGCCCAAACAGUUCCCUUGCGCCAUAAACCAUUUUCUUAGUUCUUACACAAAAACUUUUUUUUUCGAAGAAAGCCAAAAGAAAAGUUUGUGACUGAAAACAAAAUGAGUGGUUUCAAGCUUUUAGGCUGGAUUUCAAAACCGCCAAUUAUUUUCAACUUUGUUUAUAAUAUAAAACCUGAAAACCACUUUUCCUUUCAAUCCAAUUCUUCUAACAAACAAACCCACCUAUUAUUUUCUUCUUUACUUGGUCCAUCAUGGAUUCUUCUUCUUCUUCUUCUUCUUCUUCUUCUUCAAAUCAUAGAUUGUUUAACAGAGAAAGAACACUACAUCAGAUCCUUGGUGAAGGUUUCAGUAAGUGAAAUUGAUUAGGAUUUUUAAUUAUGUUAAUUAGAUGAUCAGAUCUUACUUUGGGGUUUUAAUGAAUAAUGAUGGUAUUUAUUUUGUUGUUUAUUGAUUUAAUAGUUGCAGAUGUGAUGUUAUGGAGAAGAAAAAAUUUUAAGUGUGGGGAUACUAGUGGUAACACUUGCUGCUUGGGUGGUUUUUGAGAAAUCUGGUUAUACUUUGCUUUCACUGGUUUUUAAUGUUCUGUUGCUGUUAAUUACUAUUCUUUUUCUUUGGGCAACAUCUGCAGAGAUUCUCAACAGGUAUUAUUGAUAACUAUGUUACCUAUUGUACUACAAUGUGAGUAGUGGAGGAGUUCGAUUUAUAUGAUCUCGUCAUCCCGUAUAAAUGCUGGUUAUACAGAAUAUAUAUUGAAUGAUAUGAACUUUGUUAGUGAAUCUAGCUACCAAUUUUAUUGUUCUUGGUAACCUGUUUCUUUUCAGCUUUUGUCGAAAUUUAAAAUAUAUCGAUAAAAUCUCAGACUACAUUAUCUUGAACUCAAUUUGGAAUGUACAGUAUUUGCUUCAAAGAAUAGCUAAUUCAUUGCUGAGCCUAUGGUCCCUUAAAAGUUUGUUUGUAGAGAUAGAUCAUAGAACUCUAUAUAGUGAAAUCAUUGCUUAUAGAUCCUUUGUUUACUGGUUUUCGCGUACAUUCAAACUACAUUCCAAAAAUGAUAAAGUUAUAAGUCUCCUCAAUAGGGUUUGUUUCUCAUAUUUUACACGAUUUCUGAGAUAGCGAUAUUAACUUAUUGUUGCAUAGAGGUUAAGUGGGCUUAAUGCCUGAAAAUCACAUUAUAACAAGAACAAUUUCUGUAAAAGAAUCUCACACUUCUAUACUCUGGUCUUAGCACCAAGAGUUAUUACAUGUUAGAGCUAUAAAGAAUCUGGACAUGUAAGUAGUCAGUGUAGUUGGACGCACGGGUCAGGGGUUCGAUUCCCCAAUUAGACAAUUCUGCCUUAAGUGGGAGGUCAUGGCGGUGGAUAGCUGUGCUAGCCUCCCCAGGGAUUUAGUCCCAGUAAACAAAGCGAAUGAGCCUGUGGCUCAAUGGUAGCACCCCUCUCAUUGAGCCAGUCUCAAUACUGAUAUUAACCAAUGUGUUUCCUUGUAGCAAAAAGGAAAAUAAGAUUUUUGACUGUAUUUUUUCAUUUUUUUUUUCUCGUUGUUUUUCAUAUUCUUGCAGUAAAUAGUUAGUUGUGGAGUGAAAUGUGCAAAUUUAGGUGUCUUCAUCCAGAAACUUAUUGUCUGAAUUGAUCUUGAUUACAGACCUCCUCCUCCUCUACCAGAUCUACAGUUGUCAGAAGAGUUUAUAAAUGAAGCAGCGGCUUUCAUUCGUUCUCGCAUUAACGCAUUGCUCUUAGUUUCUCGAGAUAUAUGUCUGGGAAAGGACUCGAAGAUGUUUUUCAAAGUUGCAGGGUGUAUGUGGCUAAUCUCUGUUGUUGGGGGCUGGACUGAUUUCCUUACUUUGGGUUACACAAGUAGUUUCUAAACCUCACUUUAUAUAAUGCUGUUGUAUUUCAUAACGUAUAAAUACCUAAACCUACCAUGAAGGCAGUAGACAUAAAAUAUUCAGGACUGCAAAAUUUAGGUUGUACACUAAUAUAUUGGAACUAAUGUAGGAAGGCCAGCAGAUUGAUCUUUUUCUUCGUUGAGACUUUAUGUUUUGAUGCUUCCUACUUUAUAUAGGUCUAGUUUCUGUCUUUCAGUUAUGCACUUACCAUUUUUUGGUGCUACCGAUGACUGUAUGGCAGGUCUUGUGUUUCUUCUUACUGUUCCUGCACUGUAUGAGAAAUAUGAGGAUCAAGUUGACAGAUAUGUGAUAUUGGGAUAUAGAGAAUUGCAGAGGCUCUACGUAAUAUUAGAUCAACGGUGUCUCAAUAAAAUCAGAAGUUUGAUAUUGGAGAAGAGGAAACUCAGCUAAUUCUAUUUUCCCUCUGCUUUCUUACUUAAAGAGUAGAGCUCCCACUUUAUAAAAUACGAGUGCUCGGGGAAAUGAAUUUUUCUUUCUCACGUUUCCCCUUUCUUUACUUUUUGUCCCUCCCACGUUUUUUCAUGGCUGUUGGGAUUGUGGUGCUAGAGUUUGGCUGAUGUGGUUUGUGUUGAUAUAUGGAUAAGUCAAAAACAUAAUAAAAUUCUUCUCAUUAAGUAGUGCAGGCAGCAAAUUGUUUUUAUUUUUUUGGGAUAACAAGGCACCAUGUUGUUAAUAUGCCUUUUCCUCUUCUUAUGGGACAAGUAAAUUGCGCAUAUUUUAUUGAUAUAACAUGAAGCAUUGGCAUCAUGUUUAUACCACUACCACAGCUGUAAACCCAACAAAAACAUCCCUUCACCACAACUAGUAGUGCAGAUUGUAGUUUCUACAGUAGACAUAGGAGCAACACCUGCCUGAAAUGCUUCCAAAUGGAGCUCAGAUCCCUCAAUCAGAGGACAGGCAUGUUCUCUCUGCAGCAGCUGAUCCACCAAGCUUCAAGUAUUGCCAGCAGCUUCUUAUCCUCUAAUAAUAGCUGUAAUAACAUGGACUCCUGAUACUUAAAUGAGGGUGUUCAAUGUUCAUCUCUACUCCUCGAAAGUGUUCAUCCAAAUACAAUACAUCUAUAGUUAGGAGCACCUAAACAUCUUCUUGAGAGAUGUCAGAGUCUUGAUCAGGACCACAAUUAGCCCAAAACAGUUUGUGUUAUCAAGAAAGUUGGAGCAUAAUUUCAUACUGCAUUUAUAUGGAAUCCAUUUAGAGUUGCAUAAAUUGAAAAAUGCAUCAAACUUAAAUGCAUCAAACUUAGGGGAGAAAAGCAAAAAGAUUUUGAGCCUGUCAGACAACCGUGUGAACAUCUCAGCCACCAAGGCAGCUGAGAACGAUCCUCUACAACCAGAAGAUUCACAGCUUGAAUCUCGGCCAUUAAUCACGCUCUGAUCACACGGUCCUGGUUCAUCCACCAAGCUUUGGUUACCGUCUCCUUUUUACUAAAGGAUACAGAGGCACUUCCCUAUAGAACAGAUCCUGUUCAA
This 46879-nucleotide long non-coding RNA is filed under the name Aquilegia coerulea. RNAcentral's name for it is "long non-coding RNA (ACOE_LNC001481)". The stretch from base 27871 to 28083 matches the Rfam family "Plant small nucleolar RNA U3". Lineage: Eukaryota; Viridiplantae; Streptophyta; Magnoliopsida; Ranunculales; Ranunculaceae. The record is from RNAcentral.